UUUUUUCUUUGUUUCCAUUUUUUUAGGCAAUAGAUUUUGUUGUUGCUUGGCCAAAAAAGAUUAUCCACAUAAAUACACAAUAACAUUUUGGACCUAAAUAGAUAGUUGUAGGGAAAUAAAUUCUCAAAUCAAAUUUUCUAUUACUUUUUGCUUCAUAAAGCUGAUACAUGAACCGUACAGAGAUGUUCCUAAAGACACAGAUUUUUCUGAAAAUAUCAAGUGUCUUUGCCAGUGCAAUUGUUAUUUGUUUAUCUAGUGAAACAGCAACUGAAUUUUUUUGGCAAAAUCUCCAACAAGCUUCUAGACAAAAAAAUAAAAAAAAAAAUAAAAAAAGCUUCUAAACACUUUAAAUCAAGAUAUACAUUUACUACCUUCCUUGAAGAAAAACCCAUAUGUCAAAUCUUUUACAAUCAAGGCUUUCAUCCUUCUUCUCGUGUCGUUUGAAGUCGGGCUUUUGAUCUUUCUUCUCGAACCAUUACUACAAGAUGGAACGAGCUUUUAGGAAUGCUGAUUCUGAAAGAGGAAUGGAUAGAUUUUCUGGUAAGUAUGGAUUCUGAUGUGAUAUUGAUUAUUGGUGCUAACCGGAUAGAAAGGAAAAAAAAUGAUCUUUUUGUUAUUUCUAAUUUAUUUAAGAAUUGAAUACUUAUCUUUGGGAUUUGUACACAAUUUCAAAUAGCGUUCUUCCUUGAUCCAAGAUUCAUCAUAUCAUGGAUAUUACUGGUUAAAGAGAGAAAUUAUCCCUUCUAUAUUCACAGAGCUCUGCAAUGAAUAGACUAGGAUUGAGCUGGUGGGUGGCUUUGACUGGUGAACAGCUGAAGAAUAGCCUGAAUGGUGGAAGCAAAGAAAAUAUAUAUAUAUAUAUAUAUAACAGACGAAAUUGAUUAAUUGAUUAGCCAAAUUAAUUUCUAUUAUAAUUCAAUUUGAUUUCAAUUUUUGUCAAAAUUUUAUUUUUAUAUUUUCAUUUCAAUCUUCAUAUCUAAAAUCAAAUUCAAUCAAAUUUAUUUAACUGAUCAAUGAUUAACUAACUGAUUAUCACCCUUCAUUAUAAAUACUGCUCUUUUUUUUUUAAAACCUCUAUUUAGAAUUGAUGCUAUCAUGAUAUUAUCAGUACCAUGAUUGCUUAAAUUACAUAUAGACUGCCGAUGGGGCUUGACUUGCUUGAACACCACCUGUUUGGAAUGGCUCGAACAUGGCUUAGUUCAUUUAAUAGUGUUAAACCAUAUUAAUUUAUUUAUGUAAUAUUUAUAAAUGUAUUAAAUCAAUAUAAUUUAAAUGAAAUAAAUUGUUUCUAUGCCCCAGUCCUUUUCAAUUAUUUCUAUUUUUUCUAUACGUCCAUAUUUUCACCAAUGCAAGAAGAUCCAUCUUUAAUAUCACACAAUCAUUCAAUUUUUUUGAUUGCAUGUUACAUAUGAUUUGUUAAGUAAUUUCCUUCACUCUAUGGACAUGCUUUGAAUCACAUAGCCACUCAAUGUAUGCUAGUGUAGAUUUUCUAAAUACUAAAAUGAAUAAAAUUUGGCAGAAUCUCCCCUGUUUUUGGAACAUUUGCCACUUAAUCAAAAUCGCAAGACCAACCAAAUCAAGAUAUGAUUUGAGAUACCUUCACUUUAUGUACAUCUAUAACACGUAGGCAGGAAAGAGCUAUUGAUUACAAAAACAAGUCAAUAAGAGGACAGUAUACAUGGAAAAAAAUGUGUUUAUUUGUCAACACAUCCUACAAAACUUGCCCACAUUGGAACCAAUUUCGGACUAUCAACUUGGUUUUCAUCUGAGCUUGUUGAAUACACGAAAGACUACUCUGUCUCCAUACAACAACAUCAAUCCAUCGCAAAGUGGUCAUUCCAAAAUAAAAUAAGGGAUAUGGAACUAGUUUUACAGCUAAUUAACACAAAAUACAGGAUUCCAAGAAUGGCAUAAUUUUACAGCCAGUUAGGCAUUACAUGGCUAACUAGUUUCCGAUCAAUUUGAUUUCUCUAUGCCUCGGUGUCACUGAAUUUAAGACCUUUGAGCUAAUAAUAACUUUCGCUUCUCUUCAAGUUGAAAUUUUCAGUUUUAGAACUUUGCGUACCAUCCUCAGCUUCAACCUCCAAAUUGUUUUUCCUGCGUCUCGUUUUGAGAAGUUACAGUCGCAUUAGUGAAGAGUGAAGUCAAAGUUUGAGGGGAAUAAGUAAAUGAAUAGCCAAGUAUAAACAAGUAGCUUUCAGCUGAAUGAACUACAUUUCUAGCUAUAAACUAGUACUUACAGCAAGAGAAGCCCCUCCAUUCUUGUUUUUAUAAGCAAUAUUAAAGAAAGCCAUAGGUCCAGAUUUUUCAUUUGCUUCAGGGGUUUAUCGAAAAGGCAACAUUCCAACGGUAUUAGAACAAAUUAGCUACCCCUACUGAGAUAAAGUGCUAAUUAAUAUGCUAAUUAAAGUGAGAAAGCUAAAGGACUACAUUGGUUCAAUCAGUUCAUGGUGACCCUGUGUGAAAGACUUUGAUACCAUCUCAUGAGCAAACUCCGUAUACAGUCGACUACUUCUAUAGGCUGCCAAUCGAGUCUACACAUGAUCUAUAUGGUCACUAUUGACAUAUAAUACUUUACAGUUGAUAUCACAUACCUUCCACUCUGGACGGGUUUACUUAAUCGUGUUAGAUAAGGAUUAUGAUCAUUGGAAACUCUAAAUUCCAGUUUUAGAGCUCAAAACAAGAGGUCCACACUAAUAUAUCAAUUAAUACACCAUUCGUGUUCUUCAAAAGCCAAAGCGAAGACAACUCUGUUUAGUAAUUCUGUUUUAGACAUUUAAACAUAAGCUUUAUGGAUAUGACGGAUCUGUCUAAUUUCUCAACAUUUUAUUAGUCAGAGAUCCAAAAUUUUUCCAACUUGAUUAGACAAUCUACUGGCCCAUAAAUUUCAUAGAAAUACACAAACAUCUUCUAAUGCAAAUCCAAGUGAUAAAAAAACUGAGAAUCACUGUCAUAUGACAAAAUGAGUCCUAUAUAUGUCAUGCUAUUAUACAAAUUCUCAAUCACGUGAAAGAAUUUUAUUUUAUAGAUAUCGUAUUUUCUUCUAAAAAUGAAACGGGCUUUUCUUAGUUUUUAGGUUCCUUGGAUUUUAGUUUUAAAAUGUGGAAGAAAAUUUUCUUUCUAGUAAAGAAUUGAGCCUGUAAGAUGAAGGGAAAGUGCUACUAAUGUACUAGCAAUAAGUUGGUGGGACAUCAAGAAAACCUCUCUCUUGAAUAUUUCACAAGAACAUACAUUGAAAGAAUUGCAAAAUAAACCUACAUUUAUUCUAUACUACAGGGCAGGGAGGGAGGACUAAAGAGGCCCAAAGAGAAACCGGUAGAGAGAUAAAGUUUGAAUCCUUGACCUCCCACCCCACCAAGCCUUACAGGCUAUGGUGGUAGCCACUAAGCCAAGGUCAGUGAUUAAGUCUCGCUGCUAGUCAAUGUUUUACCAAAGGAAACUCCGGUUAUUUCUCAAGCGAGAACCUAGGGCUUCCUCGCCAAUGAACUAUGGUCAUCCUCGCCAUUGCAAAGUGUGUAGGUUACUAGCGAUGAAACUUUGCAAGGAAAAUUUGGUUCCUCGCUAAUUGUAGUGGGCUUCUGAAAUUGGGCGAGAAGUUUGAAAGUCCUCGCUGCAAUAUACAUUCUAGCGAUAAAUUUUGUAGUCCUUGCUGAAAGUUUCGUAGCUAUUGCACAAUUUUGUUAUAGUGUCUCUUAACGGCACUUAGCAUUGCCAAAGUUUUGAAAAUAUCACUUAUCUCUCCAGAUAAUUGUAAAAUGACAAUAUUAUCCUUCGUUUCAUACAUAACAUGCAUAUCAAAUAAAUAGAACGCAAAAAACUAAAGAAAAAGAAAUAAAAGUCACUUUUCUCUUUCCCCUUUCUCUAACAUUCUAUUUUGUCCAUUUUUUGGAUGACUGUGCAAUUUCUGUUUAUAAAUUAUCAUAAACUGAAUUUUACUUAUCUUUCUUUUUUCAAGUGACCAUGGUAGAGUGCCAUAUGAUUUCCUUCGUUAUUUUGAUUUGAUUUUUGUAGCAAUUUAGUACAACUUAAGGUUUAGGUCAUGGGUUGAAAUGAGGUUGGAAAAAAAAUAUGGUUCAUAAAAAUUCGUUUUGAUCAUAUAAAAGCUGAACUAGUGCUAACAAGUUUCAUUUUUGUUUUUCAAAUUUAUAUAUUUUAGCAGCAACAGCUUUGUGAUGUGGUGGUAGUACUAAAAAUUAUUACUUAGAUAGGGAUUUUUAAUAGACUAAAUAAAAUGGUUUAAGAGUAUUUUUGUUUAGCAAAAGGAGCAAAAUGAUAGUUUAGGACUUUUAAAGAUUUUGUCAUACAAAUAGCAAAAAUAAGGGAGAUAGGUGAUUUUUUAAAACCUUAGCUAUAUUAAGUGACAUCAUGAGAAAACCUCAAGGAUGGUUUCUUAUAUUAUCCUUGUAUUAAAUCAUAAAGGUUGGGGACCAAAUAGGCUUUUUCUUUGGUAGGUUUUGGUCACGAACUAGUAAGAUUUAGGGAAAGAAGUUAUAAGAUUGUGUUGGAUAUUAGGCCAAGAAUUGAGAAUAUUUGGAGAUAAGGGUAGUUUCAAUUGUUUUGUUUUCUUUUAUUUCUUUUCACUACUCUCUUUUCACUCUCUUAUAUUGGUUUGGAGUUUACAAGAUCUAUUUAUAGUUGUAAAUGAUCAUUCUAGAUACAUAGGGAAGAGUUCCAGCCACACUUACCAACAACCUUCUUAAUUUCCAACCUUCUAGAUACAUAGAGAAUAUUCUAAUUAUCUAGAGAGCAUUCCAAUAUUCUAGACAUAUAAAGAAUAUUCCAACUAUCUCAUUUACUAAAUAAUUAAUCAAGCUAAUUGAUUCAGCACAUUAUUCAACAUAUUCCCCCUCUUAAUAUGUUGUUCUUGAACUCCAAGCAUCUUUCGAAAAUAGUUGAACUUGUCUUUUGGAAGUGCCUUGGUAAAGAUGUCUACAACUUGGUCUUCACUCUUGCAAAAUUUUAGCUCAACUUCACCAUCUUCAAUUGCAUCUUGAAUAAAAUGAUACUUGAUAGCAAUAUGGUGAGUUCUGCUGUGAUAAACUGGAUUUUUGGCAAUGUCAAUUCCUGAUUUGUUGUCACAGAACAUCACUGUAGCUUCCUUUUCCUUUUGCUUCGUUUUGCUUCUCACAAAUGGUUUGUCAUGUUGCCAAACUUACGGACACAUAUUCAGCUUCAGUGAAUGGUGACGUACGCGGGGUAUACAUAUCAAUUUAGCUCAUCCACAAUCAAGUUUUACAUUUAUAAACUCCUAAAUACCCCACACGCGAUUUAUCACAAGUAUACGAAUCGUGAGUGAGUAUAGGGUAUUAAGGGUUGAUCCCACAGGGAAGAUUGCAAUUACCAGUGUUUUUCGAACUCCUUUAUUAUCUAGACAACCAUAAACAUAAAAGUAAUGAAAAUUAGCACUAGAAAGCUCCUAGAGAUAUGGAAUUCCUUACUACUCUUGCAAAUGAAGUUACCGGUUAAGUGAAUGUUAUUAUCUUGGCUAGUUAUGCCAUAAUUUCCUUAUGCAUGUGAAACCUACUCUCGUAGUGAAUCAACUAUACUCGUAAUUAAGCCAUACCUACUCUCGUGGUUAUGAAAUUAACUACAAUCUCAUUUUUUCUAUGAAAUUACAUGAAACAAGUCACUUAAACCACAUAGGUGCACCUCUACUCUCGUGAGUGUACUCUCCUAGGUUUAUUACUUACUUAAACUAGUGUUAAAUUCCAAUUUUCAUUGCAAACUUAACACCUUAAGAUAUCAUAAUUAAUGGCCAGUUAAUCAUGAUUAGAUAAGCAAAAGUGAUAAAUAACUUGCUCAAAAUAAUAUCACUAAGUAGCCAAGUAAACAUCACAAACAAAAUAUAGUAAGUUCAACUAUAACUCUAGGCAUAAACUUUAACUAAGCACUUUAACUAAGCAUGAAGAAAAUAAAAGAAAGAUCCAUACUUGUAUUAUAACUAAACAUAAGAUGCAAUACAAGAAAUAAAGUGAUAAGAGAAAUGUCACCCAUGUCACUUGAACUCCAUACUCUCCAUCUUCAUCCUCAACUUCAUCUAAGUUUAGCUACUAAUACAAGAAGGAAACACUACCCUAACUAAUGAACUAAGAAAAACUAGUGAAAGCUACAUUUCUGGUGAGUUUCUCUAGCCUUCCAAAGUUUUUGAAUCUUGGAAGUCCAUGGCUAUAUAUAGAUGAAUGUAGUCAAGAAAUGAGGCUUGAAACAUCCCUUUUACAGCUGCUAAUUGGUUGUUACAUGCUCAUCAAUAGCUGUGAAUUAUUAAAGAAGGAAACAAGUUGCACAAGUGGAGAGCAACUAUUUCUGACCAGAAUCUGAACAAUUCAACUGCAAUUUUCUCUAUGAUUGAGGCGGAACUAGCUUUGUGUAAAUAAGAAAGCUGUAGAUCUCUAAAUUCUCUUUCCAAUGCCUCAAGAAUCAUCCCAUUUGGAGCUCUGUGGACUGAGAUAUGAUCAAAAUACCACUGACUGAUCAGAGCUCUAUUGUCACCUUCCGACAGCAGACUUUGACUUUUGUAUUUUGACAUUUUGACCAGGAAAAUGGCUGAAUUGGACUUUGAUGUCUCAUACCAAAUUUAGAUACGUCUCUUAGCUUCAAAAUUUUUAAGAAUCAUCUCAAUCCAAUGUAUGUAGUUCAAGAUAUAGCCAAAAUACCACAGAUUGCUAAAGCUGACUUUUCUUGCAUUCUUUUGUCCUUAAAUUGCAUUUUCUCUUUUACACAUCAUAUUUUAUUUUUAUCACUUUAAACCUUCAUCAAUCAUCCAAUUAUCUUCUCAAUACACUCCAUUUGAUGAUUGAAUCAUUAAACCUACAAAAUAUGAAGUUUUUAUUGUAAAAAUCCAUAAAAUGCAAUUUUUACACUUUAACCAUAAAAUGUAUAUUUUCACUAGAAUCCUAGUUUAUUAGCUAUAAAACUAAAUAAAACACACCAAAACUAACCAAUAAAACACACUAAAAAUACGUAAAAUAUCUAUUUGUCAGAAUGAUUGUGCCACACUUUGUUGCUUCUUUGAUCCCCAAGAAAAUACUCCAGAACCAAGUGAAAAACAAAAGCCUAAGGUGCUCUUCAUAUUAUCAAGGCAUCCACCCCAAUCACUAUCACAAUAAACAUGCAAAUUUAAAGUAGCACCUUUGCUGAAUUUGAUGUUGUAGUUAAAUGUCGUUUGAUGUAUCUUUACACUCUCUUGGCUGCUCCAAUAUGUAAUUGACUGGGAUUGUGUAUAAACCUUGACAUCUUUUUUGUCAAGCUUUUCACUUACAACAAGUGGUGUGGCCAUCAGUUUACAAUCAGUCAUGCCAAAUUUCACAAGAAUAUUUUCAGCAUAUUUCUUUUGACAAAUAAAGGUUCCAUUAUCAUAUUGAUAAAUCUCCAUACCAAGAAAAUGAUGUAGCAGUUCCAUAUCAUUCAUUUUAUAUAUUUUCAUCAUGUCUUUCUUAAAAUCAGCAAUCAUCUUCUCAUUGUUAUUGGUGUAAAGCAAAUCAUCAACAUAAAAAGAAACAUUGAGAAUUUUGAGCUAUCUUGAGUUUUCACAUAUAAGGUUUGCUCACUUUUACUCUUCUUGAAUUCUUGCUCCAUGAAGUAAGAAUCAAUUUGGCUAUACAAAACCCUUAGAGUUUGUUUCAAUCCAUACAACACUUUCUUCAACUUAUACACUUUGUCUUCUUGUCCUUUUUCGACAAAACCUUGAGGUUGUUCAACAUACACCUGUUCCUUCAAUUCUCCAUUCAAAAAGGCAGAUUUAACAUCAAGUUGGUAGAGAUUCCAGCCUUUAUGGACUGCCAUGGCAAUAAGAGUUCUAAUUGUAUCAAAUCUUGCAACCGGUGUGAAUGUUUUGUUAUAGUCAAUUUCGAGCUGUUGUGGAUAACCCUUAGCAACAAGUUUUGCCUUCUUCUUUUGGAUUGAACCAUUCAGAUUCAACUCGACUUUGUAAAUCCAUUUGACACCAAUGAUCUCCUUGUCUUGUGACUUUUCAACUAGCUUCCAAGUCUCAUUUUUCUCAAUUGCAUAAAUUCCAUCUUCCAUUGCGUUUUUCCAAUCCUUUUCUGCAUAUGCUUCUUCAAAAUUUUCUGGUUCAGAACGCAAAUAUUAUAUCUUGCAUGAAUAUCACUCAAACUCCGCAUUUUCUUUGGAGUUGAAUUGGGAGAAUUCGAACUUGAACUUGGAGAUGAUGGUGGACUGCUUGUUGGUGUUGAAUCAUCAUCAUUUUCUUCUUCAUUUGUUGAAUUUUCUUCUUAUUCAUAAUGACAAACAACCUCCUCCAUAAUCUUUUUCUCAUUCCAAUUCCAAGCAGCAUUUUCAUCAAAUACAAUAUCUCAACUAAUAAUGAUUUUGUUAGUCUUCAAAUUAAACAAUCUAUAACCUUUAGACUUGGAGUUAUAACCAACAAAAAUACAUUUUUCACUUACUUCAUCAAAUUUGUCCCUUUUUCUUUUGGAAUUUGAGCAUAGCAAAUGCUCCAAAAAACCUUCAAGUGUUUCACCAAUGGUAUCCUUCCAUUCCAUGCUUCAAUUGGAGUUUAAUUCCAUACGCCUUUUGUAGGAUUUCGAUUGAGCAAACAUACAGCUGUAUAAACAGUUUCAGCCCAAAAUUUCUUUGGCAAGUCUUUCUUUCCGAGACUCCAUUUUGUUGUGGUGUGUAGCCAACGGUCAGUUUCCUUUUCAAACCUUCAUCUUUACAAAAUUCUUAGAAUGCAUUUGAGGUGUACUCUUUACUACGAUCACUCAACUUCUUGAUGUAACAACCACUUUAUUUUUCAACAAGACUUUUGAACUUUUUAAAAAUUGAAAACACCGUAGAUUUUUCUUUCAUGAAAUAGAUCCAAAUCAUUCUUGAAAAAUCAUCAAUGAAAAGGAUGAAAUACUUGUUACCUCCAUGAGAAGUUGUCUUCAUGGGCCCAUAAACAUCCGUAUGAAUCAGCUCCAAAAUUUUUUUGGCUCGCCAUGCAACUCCUUUAUGAAAUGGUUGCCAGUGUUGUUUGCCAACUACACAACCUUCACAAACUUCAUGUUUCUCCUCAAUUCUUGGUGAGCCAUAUGCCAUCUCUCUUCGUUGAAGCACCUUGAGGUUAUGAAAAUUCAAAUGGCCAAAUCUCUUAAGCCGCAACCAUGAAUUUUCAUUGACAUGUACUUUCAAGACUUGAUUUUCACUAUAAUUGAAUUUGAUUGGAAAACUUCGGUUGGCUUACAUUUGGAUUUCAUCACAAGCUAUCUACCAUCCUUUUUCAUAGAUGCAGCACUCAUAAUCAUCAAAGUUAAGUGCAUAUUUAUGUUCAAGAAGAUUCAAAUGGCCAAACCUCUUAUGCUCAACCAUGAAUUUUCAUUGACGUACUUUCAAGACUCGACUUUCACUAUAAUUGAAUUUGAUUGGAAAACUUCGGUUCGCUUACAUUUGAAUUUUCAUCACAAGCUGUCUACCAUUCUUUUUGUUAUGGAUGCAACACUCAUAAUCAUCAAAGUUAAGUGCAAAUUUAUGCUCAAGAAGAUUCAAAUGGCCAAACCUCUUAUGCCCACUACUACAAAAGUGUCCUUUUAUGACAUUCAAAAGCGUCAUUAUAGAUCUAUGUCAUGACGUUUAGGCUCUAAUGACGCUCUAUUAGAAGCGUCGUCCAUUCUAGCGUCACGAUAGGUUUAUGACAGUUUUAAGUGUCCCAAUUUAUCAUUAUUAUGACACUAUUAAAUGUCAUUAUCUAUGCAUAUUAUGACACUUUCAAAUGACAAGAAAUGUUGGGGUACAAUAACAUAUCAUGACACUUUUUUAGUAUAAGUAGAUAGAAAUAUUAUGACACUUUUGAAGAGUAACUAGAUCAGGCUUUUAUGACAUUUUCUACUUGUCAGUGUAGCAUCCAAAUUAAAGUGUUCCAACUUCUUGCUGCAUAUCAUAUGACGGCAGAAACCACAUUUCAUCCUGCCACACAAGCAUCUCCAAUCCUAAAUUUUGAAGGAUUGUAACGUAGCUAGUACAAUAAUAUAAAAGAAGCAAUACAAUCAUCCAAACUUGUGCAAAAGUACAUCAUCCAAACAAUCCACACCAAAAGUGUCUACAAAUUAUAUACUAAUUUAGAAUAAGGGAAGCCCUAAAGAUGGAUCAGAAAAUUUAUUAUUUGAGCCACCAGCAACAGCACCACUAGUGCCACUGCCAUCACCACCAAUGGAGGGCUGAGACACCAUAGGUGGCUGCACCUGAAGUGAGUGAUCAUCUUCAUCCAAAGACAGUCUUUCAUAUGCUACGUUAGUGAAAGAAGCAGCAAUAACAAUCACAGGUCUAGAAGCAAUCAAAGCUCCCACAACAUUUCCUCCAACAACUUGACUGUAUCUACCAGCCAAAUAUAUGGUCAAAUUGGUGGCACCCGGUGGAGCUAGUGGUGGAAGGAAGGAGCCCGACAAUGAUAAAAUUUCGAACCAACCAUGUAACGUCAUGACUGAACCGGCAACAGCCAGUUGCCUCAAGCUCACAUUGUUGACCGUGCCACUACUACUCAAUAUGCAAAUACCUCUUUGCCUUUUUCUAACAUAUGUUGCAACUAAUUCAAACACAUCACAGCCGCUGCUGACCUCUAAUUUAUGUGCUCGGAGCGUGUUGGUGCUCUCUUGAGUGAUUAUCACCGGGGGUUUAGGCUUGUUUUUGGAGCUAGGUGGCCGGCCUCUUGGCCGAAGAGCUACAACAUCGCCUGAGCUUGUGUUUGAUGUGACCAGCUCUAUAUAGACAAAAACAGCUAAAUAUCUCAAACAGAAAAUGCAUGUUCAAACUAAAGAUCCGAAGAGAAAACAUAAAGACACAUUCAACCAUGUUGCAGUAUUUCAGUUCUCUAUUCAACUCAAGAUUAGUUUAUAAAAUAAAUUUCAAAAAAAGAAGGCAGAGCCUUGGCAAAAAACUAAAGGGCAUGCUGCUUGGAAGAAUUGAGUAAACUAGAGAGCAAAUCCAUUUGGCAAGCAAUGAAAAACUCGUUUAGUCAAUUUAUCAAACAUGUGGUGGGUCACAGAUGCUACCAAACUCAUGCUAAAGAAGGCAAUAACAUUUACUUGGAAUCUUUCGAUGGCAUCCAAAAAACAAUUAUCUUUCGACGGCAUCCAUUUAGACCUAAAGUUAAAAUUAUCUCUUAAAACAAGAAAUCAAAAAGAAAACAACCUUGAUGUUAACAAAAAAUUGAAUCAUUGAUAUUCUAUAAACUAAACAAACAUCUUAAUCAUCAUACCUCCAUCGGUGGGAUGAAUCCUAGUUGCUUCCUCCUUGAAAAAUUAGCUGAUUGGCAAGAAAAUUGGCUAAAUCUGCCCUAAAUUGAGAGAAACAAGAGAGGGAGGGAAAGGUCACAGUACAAAAAGAGAGAGAAUGCAGCGGGUGAGGAGAGAUGUGAUGAGAUGUGGUAAGUAAGAAAAGGGAGGAAAUAUUAGAAUUUUGGGUGAAAAUAAUCACGCGCUAAAACAUAGAGCCAAUUUUCAAAUUUAAGGGUGAUACGGUGUAGUUUUUUCUAUUUUUGGCACCUUUUUAAUGACACUCCUUACUAACUGUCAUGUUAACACCCUAUUAUGACAUUUAGGAAAAAAUGUCAUAAUACAAGUGUCACCAAAAGCUAUUUUUCUAGUAGUGGCCCAACCAUGAAUUUUCAUUGACAUGUACUUUCAAGACUUGAUUUUCACUAUAAUUGAAUUUGAUUGGAAAACUUCGGUUGGCUUGUGUUUAGAUUUUCAUCACAAGUUGUCUACCAUCCUUUUUGUCAUAGAUGAAGCACUUAUAAUUAUCAAAGUUAAGUGCAUAUUUAUGCUCAAGAAGCGGUCCAAAACUCAAUAAAUUUUGGUCUAAAUUAGGAACAAAUAAAACAUCACGAAUGAACUUCAUACCUUGCUUGGUUUGGGUACCAAUUGUUCCCAAUCCUUGUGCUUGAAUUAUGACUCCAUUUCCCAUUUUCAUUUCAGUCUUUAUAGAUUCAUUCAAGUUAAAAAAAAAAUAGAUUUAUCUCUUGUCAUAUGAUUGCUACAAUUGCUGUCAAGGUACCAUACAUUAUCCAUGACUUUACUGGCUAUGUGAGAAGCAUAGGAUAAGUUUCCUUCUCCUUGCUUGUCUUUUCAGUCUUUAUAGAUUCACCCAAGUCAAUAAAAAUGCAUUUAUCUCUUAUCAUAUGAUUGCUACAACCGCUGUCAAGGUACCAUAUAUUAUUCUUGAUUUCAGUGGCCAUGUGACAAGCAUAGAAUAAGUUUCCUUCUCCUUGCUUGUCUUUUCAGUCUUUAUAGAUUCACCCAAGUCAAUAACAAUGGAUUUAUCUCUUGUCAUAUGAUUGCUACAACUGCUGACAAGGUACCAUAUAUUAUUCUUGAUUUCAAUGGCCAUGUGACAAGCAAAGAAUAAGUUUCCUUCUCCUUGCUUGUCUUUUGAAAAUUCUGCUUGGUGAUUGGUCUUGAAUUUGCAAUCCUUCUCAAUAUGGCCAAAUCUCUUGCAAUAGUAGCAAUUUGGCUUGUCUUUGUGCCAACAAUCUUUCUCAAGGUGAUUGGUCUUGCCACAAUAGUUGCAAGGUUGUGAAUUUUCAGCAUUAAGACCUCUUUGAAGGUUGUUUCUUCGUCUUUCUCUUGAAUUUUUGCCUUUGCCUCCUCCACGGCCAUAUCUACUGCCUCUUUGUGAGUCUCUACCUCUUUGGUAGCUACAAGAUGGCUCUUGUUCAUUGGUUUUGGGGCUGAAAUUCAACUUCGAUUGAAAAGCACUUUCAACAAAUUUUUUUAGCAUAUCUAGCCAUCCUUCUCUCAUGAGCUUUCAAGGAUCCCAUCAACUCUUGAACACUCAUUGAGGAAAUAUCUUUUGUCUCCUCAAUUAUGGACACCAUUGGAUCAAAUUUUGGAGGCAAACUAACAAGAAUCAUUUCAACAAUUCUACUAUCACUAAUUUCUUCAUCAAAGGUUUUCAUUGCAUUUACAAUUGUGGUGAUUUUUGUGUAGUAAUUUUCAAUACUUUCAUCAUCACUUAUCUUCAAAUUUUCAAGAUCUUGAAGAAUAACAUUUUUUUCACCUUAACAUUCCCUUAGAACUCCUUUUGUAAUAUCUCCCAUGCUUCCUUGGCAUGACCGGCUCCCAUAAUUCUUGAACAAAUAUUUGGACUCACACCUUAUUGGAUGUGUGAAAAGGCCUUUUCUUCCUUCUUCUUAUGCUCCUUAAGUGCCUUUAAUUCUUGAUUGGUGAGACCUUCUUCACUUUCUGGUUCUCUAUAGUCAUUCUCUACAUAUUUUCACAAAUCUUGUGAUCUUGAAAUUGUUCUCAUUUUCACGAACCAAUGAUCACAGUGCUCAUUGGUGAAUAUGGGAAUUGGAAGACCAUCACUAGUAUGAUUGGCCAUCUUGUAUGGUUGAAAAUCUCUCAAAUUUUUUUGGGUUUAGGGUAUGAACUAAAGCUGUAAAACCUAGCUCCAAUACCAAUUUGUUGGAUAUUAGACCAAGAAUUGAGAAUAUUUGGAGACAAGAAUAGCUUCAAGUGUUUUGUUUUCUUUUAUUUCUUUUCACUCUCUUAUAUUGGUUUGGAGGUUACAAUAUCUAUUUAUAGUUGUAAAUGAUCAUUCUAGAUACAUAUGGAAGAGUUUCAGCCACACUUACCAAUAACCUUCUUAAUUUCCAACCUUCUAGAUACAUGGGGAACAUGCCAAGUAUCUAGAGAGCAUUCCAAUAUUCUAGAUACAUAGAGAAUAUUCCAACUAUCUCAUUUAUUAAGUAAUUAAUAGGCUAAUUGAUUCAGCACAUUAUUCAAUAGAUUGAUUAAAAUUUGUGAAAAUUGGGUGCAAAAAAUUACUAUAUUGUUUGUGAUGUAACCACAAGGUUUUUCUUAAAUGAUAAUUGUAAGUGUAGGUAAUGCCACUUUUGGUCCUCCGAAGAAGAUUAGCGUCUCAAUCCCGUCCUUGAAAGAAAAAUGUUGCAAUCAAGAUCUUCAAAUUGAGAAUUCUAUAACAAUUCCAGCCUCCCAUCUACUUUCGUCAAGUCAAUGAUAGUUGACCAUUUUUAAGCCAUGAGACAGACUAUGGUGCAUCGUAAGCCGUUGUUGAGGGACGUAUACUUAAUUUGGCAUCGAGAAAGUGAAAUCAAAGAAAGAAGGCGGAAAAAAAAAAGAAAAAGAUGAACAUUUUUUGGAAAACUCACCAUUUUAGUCCUUCAACUUUUUGCUUUUGUCAAUUUAGUCUCUUAACUUAGUUUUAGCCUAAUUUAGUCCUUUAACUUAAAUUUUGUAUCCAAUUAAAUUCUAUUACGGUAGCACCACCAAUUAAAACAUUUCUGGUCCAAAUUUCUACUACGGUGCUAAUAGAAGAAGUACAAGUGAGGCUCAAUAUUAAAAUGAAGAAAAAAGUUUUUCCAUAACUUUGGGGGAAACAGUAAAUUUACUAUUGAAUUACGGAGAAAAGUAGAAGUUCUUGCAAAAAAAAAAACCCAGCAACAAUUGGGUCGUCUUCAUCAUAAACUCACAAAAAACUCUGAUAGAUGAAUUCAGAAACAGCACCCAUUUAUACUCUUCAUCAACUCCCAUUAAUCAUCCAUCACUCAAGAACAAAAUUAAUCAUCCAUCAUCCAUCAAAUCCCAUUAAUUGGUGGUGCCACCAAAAAAGGAUUUAAUUGGAUUCAAAAUUUAAGUUAAAAGGACAAAAUUAGGCUAAAACAAAGUUAAGGGACUAAAUUGACAUAAGUAAAUAGUUGAAGGACUAAAAUAGCCAUUUUUCCAAAAAUUUUUCAUUUUAGUUUCUAAAUCCUUUAAGAAAAUUUUUUUUCUAAGUUCCUAAAUCCUUUACCAGAUUAAUAACAGCCAUUCCAGUGGAAAAAUUUUCCCCAUUUAAAGAGCAUAAAUUAGGGGUCCAACAUUAAUAAGCUGAUGGGAAUUGACAUAAGGAUUGAGUUGGAACAAAAUUCUUAUUUUGGACGAACUUGAUUGACUCUUUUUUUUUUUUUUUCAAAUUCAGACAUUGUGUUGAAAUUCUAAUCUACUUUGGAGAAUCAAAAUGAAUUAUCCCUUAAAUGUUCAAGAAUAAUUCCAAGUAAAAUUUUGUGAGUGAAAUGGGAUGUUCUGAUAAAGCAAUAAUUUUUUGGUAUAAAGGUAAAUGAAAAUGGUGUAGUAAAAGAAAAAUGUACUAAGACGUUUUAAGAAGGGAUAAAAAAUUUCCAUGUUUUAAGGAAAGGGUAAAAAAUUUCUAUCAAAAUUGUAAGACUUACCAGAAGGAUGCAGGAUUUUUUUUUUUUUUUUUUGGGAGGUCUUGAACCCUUCUUAAGGAAGGGGUAAAAAAUUUCUAUGUUUAAACAGUAAAAAUUUUCUUUCAAAAUUGUAAGUCUCACAAGAAGUAUGUAGGAUUUUUUUUUUAUAUUUUUGGUAAGUGGUGGGUCAUGAACCAUCUUUUUCAUCUUACCACUCAAUCUAAUCCCUCCAACCAAGGAUUUUUUAUUAUAGAAAGUAGUAAAUUACAUUUUUAUGAGAAGGGAAAUUUUCUAUAAAAAUGGUAAAUUUGAAUAGUACAUUGGUCAGGAUUAACUUUAACCGCAUAAAGGUAUUUCAUAUUUGUGAUCCGCUCAAAGAGGUUUAUGUAUUAACCCAUUUUUUGUUUAUGUUUUUAUUAUACGCUACUAUUUUGCUAUAUAUUUCUGUCGCUUUUUUUUUUUUUUUUGGAUUAAGUUUGCAUUAGGAGACGAGUGACCAAGUCCUUCUAGAGCAUGAGUUCGUUUCCAUAACAAACUCUAAUUGCUCGUUUCCAUUAGAAACUCUAAUUGGCUAAACAUUGUUUCUGUUUACCACCCAUAAAAACAUUCCUAAAUUCUUAUCUCCACAUUGAAAUUCUUAUACAAAAAAAUCAAGAAGGGUAGUCUGGAAGUUCGUGGGCAAGGAAGACAUGAAAGGAUUGUUUGGAUUUUUCGGACGAAAAGGCACAGAGGUACGACUUGUAAGUUUCAGUGAUGUGUUUGAUGUUGAUGCUUGAACAAUUUAACUUGAAAAUCACACAUAAGUUUUUCAAGUCUUCUUCAUAUUUAUGGUUUUUUUGUCUGUUUAAUUUCAGUUUAUUUCUUGUGAUGUAACUUGGAUUUAUUUGUGAUGAUGUAGUUUUAAUUGGCGAGACAAAUAUGCUCAGUCUUUAAUGUUUUUUUACCUUGUUCGUCUUAUGUGCUUUAUCUUAUGUAUACUCUAUUGCGAUACUUGUGAAACAAAAGGAGGAGAAGAGAGGAGAUGGCUAAGGAGACGAAUAAUAAUUAGCAGUACAAAAAGGGUUGUGAAGUUUGAGAGAAGUUUAAACUCGGGCUUAGAUUUCUUAAAAAUACAGUGAUGAAUUAAAGUUUCUGUGUACAGGAGGAAAUUCAGAAUCUCCUUGAUGAACUGGAUCAAAAAAACCAACAGCUGAAUUUAGAAUUGCUUGGGAUUAGGAGAAAGGCUGAUGAUUUGGAUCAUAAGGAAGUCGAAAUCACCAACUUGGGGGAAAGGUUGAUGAAAAAGGAAGAAAUAUUAGAUGAUCUGCUGGGUACCGUUGAGGAGAAAGACCAGGUUGUGGAGGCCAAGUUGGAACUUGCCAAGGAGAAAGAAGAAUAUAUCAAGAAUGAGGAGAAAAUGUUGGAUUUGGAAAAGCAACAAAUUAGUUCUGACCGAAAAAGUUUGCUAGAUCUUAAAGAUGAACUUAAAAGGACAAUGGAUGAAAUUAGACAAAAACAACAGCAGAUUGAUGAUGAAAAUAAAAACCUUCAAGUUCAGAAAGAAUUGCUUUUGACGGAGGAGGAUGAUCUGAAACAAUUGAGGAAGCAAUUGGAGCAAGAAAGGGAGGCGUUGGAUGAGAAGAAAGUGGUUGCACCUGCUUCUGAUCGGAAGUCUUCUGAUAAAUCUGGUGGCUGCUGCCGCCGCAAUUCUUGGCUCAGAAAUUGCACUCCAAGUAUUUUUAAAUUAUCCCGCAAAGAAUCACAGGGUUUGCCAGAUUCAAGGCGCUCUGAUGAAAAAGCUACCAGGAAGAGGGCACGGGACGAUGAUCAAACUCCUAUUGAAGCAGAGACAGAAAAGGGCAGGAAAAGGAGGCAAACUGACACUCCUUUAGUAGUCCCAGGGCUGCAGUUUACACCUAAUGAACCAUUUGACACUGAGGUAAAUCCUUCUAGUUUCUUGAUAAAUUUUGAUCUGCAUAGAAAAAUGGCCUUUCUUCAACAUGUACAUAUUUCUUUGUUUACAGCCGCGGAUUCAAUUGUCUGAGUAUGUCUUGGAUGGUAAUGAUGGUGGAGAUGAAUCUGGCGACAACUUUGAGCAGUUGAUUAAAGCAUCAUCUGGAGAUGGCUUGGAUGAUAUUAAUGGUGAUGGAUAUGCCACCGACAACGGCAACAAGGAGGAGGAGGAGGAGGAGGAGGAUGAUGAUGAACAUCUUGGUAAAACGUCAGUGAGUAGAAAGAUAUGGAACUUCUUGACAACAUAAAAAUCCGUCCUUAGCGGGAAGCCCUAACUUAUCCUCCUAGUUUAGCCGUUGUACAUGAUUUUAGUUCUAAAUGUCCCACUAAACUUAAUGCAGACAGAUGAUAGUUGAAUAUUUUUUAUUUUUCAGUUUUUUUCUACCAAAUUGUUACAUAUUCCUUUUUUCUUACUCCUCUGAAUAAUCCCUUGGAUAUUUUCUUUUUAUACAUGUGUCAUGCAAUUUUUUAUAAUUUUGUUUUGCGUGUGUAUGUUAUAUCCACUCCUACUAAUGCAGGAAAAGCUUUAUAGUGACAGUAUAGAGAAUGUUAUUUCUGGAUUUGGCCAUAAUUUUGCUGGUUGUUGGUUUAAAGUAGUAUUUAAUUUACCCUAUAAUCAUGUUUAUACUGACAAUUCACUUAAAUUUGUUGUGCCAAUCUGCUAUUGGAAGCUGGCCAUUGAGUCAUCGCAUGUCUUCACUCGCUUGACGACGGCUCGUAGAAUGUUUUUGGUGGCUCAAAUACAAGUUUGAUCUUCUUCAUCCAAAAAAUUUCGAGGAAACCAUAGUGGAAUAUAGCCUUCUUGACGACUAGUUUGAAGAUUUUACAUAAUUUUAUUUUUUUUUUAUAGUAUGAAACAGAUGGAAUUUAAAAAGUGAAAAAGAGCAAGGAAGAUUUGAAACCAAGAUAGUCUUGGAGUCUCAAUCGUAACUAUUAGAUCAAAACCUUCUCGGUGAUUUUACAUAGAUAAGAGAUAAAGCAACAAAUUAAUUUCUAUCUGAGAUCAUUGACAGCCCCUUUAUGGUAUCCAAGAUUCAAAUCAAUGUCUUAGUUUUUUUCUCAAAAUAUGUCCAAUGGUAAUUAAUUUCAAAUUCAUUAACGGAUUUCAAAUCCUCUCCGCAUAUAUCUAUUUUGUUUCCCGGAAAUAUAUGUCUAUAUUGUUGACUUAGUGAUAACAGGCAUGGUCUAUUGUAUAAUUAAUUUCAGUUGAGGGAGAAGUAGGAUAAGAAAGUAGUAUAGAUGAUUCAAAUGUUAAGCCCCAUAACUUCGUCACAUCAAAUGCUUUGCACAACCAACGUGCUACUUUACUGUAUUUAGAUUUGCCAUUUAUGUAAUUAUGGUCAUUGGUAAUCAUGAUGAUUGUCUUUCCAAGACAAGAAUGAUCAUAACAAACCCUGUCUCUUAGCAUAUGAAUUGUCAAAAUUAAGGACAUUAAAGGCUUGAGAUAUUGCACACAGCUCAACCUGUAGAGAAAUUCGUUGAACUGAGAUUUUCCUGAGGCCAAGCCGUUCUCAACGGAUUCUUGCUUUUGCAUAUAUAUACACUAGGGGAAAAAACACUCAAACAAUUGCAUAGCUUCGAGCAAAUAUACAUUCAAAAGAGCCAAAUUCUCAGCCCUCGAUCAGCUGCAAGUUUGCAUUUUUUUCCAACAUCGUUUUGUCAUUUGUCGAGAGAAUGGCAACAUUGACCAGAAUGGUUCUUGUGUUGCUCGUUGCAUUCUUGCUAUGCUCAGUAGUAGCCUGCAAUGCCUCUAAUUUAUUAAUUAAAUUAUCAAAUUACAUAUUAAAUCAAUCAAACUGGUCAAACGAGUCAACCCGUGUUGACCUGAUUUGGACCUAUUUGCCUCGCGGGUCAUUCAGGUUUGACCUAAUUUUUGUCCGAACCCAUGAAGAGCCCGCUAAUUUCGUGCUAGAUUCAAGUUAUGUUUUCAAGUCGUAUGGAGAAGUGUCACCCCUAGAUUCUGGCACGAAGAUUAAUAGAAAAAACUACACAAUUGUCCACUACCUGUUUAUUACAACAAAUGAAACUUGCAAUUUCUAAUAAUCAAAUUUUUAUUAAAUUUUAUUAAAGAUAAAAUGAAGAUCGACAUUACAGGAAUAUUCCAUUCAAUCCUUCAAAAUCUAUAGAAAUUUCAAGAAAUAAUGGAAAAAAAAGAAGUAGAGAAAAAAUUUGAAGAAAUCAAAAGACAUACCUCUUUGAACCAUAGUUAUUAAACCCAACCCGGGAAGGAAGCUGACAGGUGUCGGGCCUGUGCAAUAAUAAAUACCUACUCGAGAAAAAUGAAUUUUCUGUGUAUAGUAGUGAGUAGGGUCGAAUCCACAGGGACUGGAAAAAAAUUCGAUUCUUUUCAAGUUCGGGACACGGGGGAUUUUUAUCAGAUAAAACUAAAAAUAAAUAAUUAAACAAUUUAACUAAAAAUAAUUAAACAAUUUAACCAAAGAUAAAUAAUUAAUUAAUACAAUUGUAAAUAGCAAUUAAAUAAAUGAUAAAUAAAUUCUAGCCAAGGAUACAACUACGCAGACACAGUCCAUUCAUCCGAUCAUUGAUGCAAAGAAUGUUCACUUAAUUUAAUUAAUAGGCUAGUUAUAGCCGCUGAUAAACUCUAACGACCAGCUUUUCCUUAAUUUAUUGAUAACCAAGGUACGACCGUUGAUUACCUCUAACCAGCAAAUACUCCUAGGUACGACCGUAGGAAUUAAUUUCCUAAUUGCAUUAAAAACUAGAAAAACCUAGCCCAAAUUAAUAACACGCUACGAGGGUUAUUUAAAUCAGAUUGCAUGUUCCCCUAGUAUGUGAAAAUACUAAUUGUCACUAAUAUUAACCAACUAAACAAUUACGGAUUUAAUUGAUUAAUUUGACAAGAGAUUAAAAAGUCAAAUUGCACAUCGGGCCCUUGAUAUCCAAUUAACAAAAUAAUCCCAUGGAAAUUAAAACAGAAAACAUGCAAAUAUUAACAAAUUAAGGAACACGUAAAAUUAAUUAGAUCUCACAGAUAUAUGGGACUGCGUCGUCGCGUUGAUCCUUGACUAGAGGAGAAAAUUAGCCACGCCUCAUAAGAAAAUUCCCACACAAUUCAAUUGAAUUCGAAGACAUAAAUAACUCUUGCUAGUAACUGAAAAUGAAAAUUUGAUUCUCCGUAAUCUAAUGCAAUAAAACUAGUUUCAUGGAAGAAACUAGUUGAAUGAAAGAGACCGAAGAAAUAAAAAAAACAAACUUCUGGAGAAAACUUCACACCCAAAAUCCAACAAACCAAUCAACUACCUAUUCUACCUACGGAGCUUCUUGAAGAGCAAACUAAAAACUAGUCUCCCGCUUAUGAAGCUAUCAUCUGAUAUAUAUAAGGCAAGCCUUUAGUCUUCAUAGCUUUUUCAUAGUCUUUUCUCCUUGAGCCCACUAAUCUAGUGCCUUGUUAUUUUAUUGGAGCACUAGUCUCCCACAAUAAUCAAAGCUACGUAGGAAGCAAAUAGAAAAGCUACUUUCAUCAUCAAAGUCCACCUAUGGCUAAUGAGUACAUCUCCCAAAAGAAGAACACAUUUUCUAAAUCAAUGUUACGUGGUCCCUGCAGAAUUCUCUCCUUUUGACUUCUUAUUGCUAGUGGACUUGUCAGGACUUAAUAAUAGGAAGGCAACUCUUCAUCAGCAAUUCCGUUGGUUUGCACAAUUUGGGCUGAUUGUGGAAAGCUUUUAGAAGCUUUCACGUGUGGAGAGAUCUUCUCAAGAAGGUUCCCUUUUAGCACUUUUCUGCUCCACUUUCUGAAAUUAUAUCCAAAUACCAAAUAUAAAUAUAUAUUGACAAUUAAAGCAAUAUUUGGCAAGGAUAAAGAGGAGAAUUAACAAUAAAAUUACUAACAAUUAACAUCCUAUCAAUUCCCCCCACACUUAAAUCAUGCUUGUCCUCAAGCAUGGGAACAACUAAAUUCAACAAUGGCUAACUCUCAUUUCAUUUACUGCCAAGCUAUGCUUAUCCCAAAAUCAAGUUUUAGUGGCUAAGUGUCAAGACAUAUUUCUCCCGAUUAGCUCCUGAAAUCAUAGACUCGUCCAAUUCAUGGCUAACUCGUCUAAGAAAUUAAAAUAUUAAACUAGCAAAAGUUAGCAAUUGGGUCAACUGAAAAUCAAAAUCUCAACAUUGAAGAACAAGGAUCGGCAGGCCAAUAUGAUCAUAAGUUUACACAUUAUUUUAUUCUCUCUCUCUUUUUUUUUUUUUUAACAAUUAAUUUUUUUUUUUCAAAAAUGCUCAGUCCCAAGCUAUUCAAGUCUUUUGACGUGAACUCUGACAUUUUUAGAUGAAAGAGCCCAGUUACUCAACUUUUCACAGCUUCAGGACUAACUACUCAUAGAUAUCGCCACUUUUUGACGCGAAAGUCGACACUUGUGGUGAAAACUCCCGGUUACUGGGUGACGGCACUAGCGGAGUAGAGUCAUUUAUUAAUCACAAUUAAAGUAUCAGAAUACCAGAUAAUUAAAGAUCAUGGCCCACGUCAUCUCCUAAUAUGGAGAACUAAGAUCAACAAUUGCCCAAUCCACAUAACAAUUGCUAAUAAAAUAUUUAAAUUGCCUAAACAAGUUAACCACAAUUUGCACCAAGUCAUUAAACUCAUGAUAUUCACCAAGAUAACAUGCGUUUACUUGCCAUCUAAACAAAAUUCAUAGGAUAAAUCACAACCAGCAAUAAACGAAUGAAUUGCCAUAUUUAUUCAUCAAAACACUAGUAAGAAAAGCAGUAAAUUAAAGAAACACCAAUCAAAACUAAACCCAAAUCCCCCCCACACUUAAAUCACACAUUGCCCUCAAUGUGAUAAUGAAACAGUAAAAAUAAGAAGAAGGACAACGAAACUCCCCUUAAGCUGGUGCCGGCUAUUAGCACCUGUAGUUGGAGGAGGCGGAGCGGAGGUCAAAGGGUCGGGAUCGUGGUUUCACCAUUCUUUCCAAAUUGUACUAAAUAAAUAAAAAUCAAGCAAAGUAAAAAGAAACAAGCAAAGUAACACAGAAGUAUCCAACUAAGGAUGAAUAGAAAUGUCAGGUAGUCCAAACACGCAAAACUUUCAGAAAUGUACUGUAAUAAAAAUAAUAAAAACAUACUGCAAUAAUAAAAUAAGAAAAUAAAAAAAAAUAAUAGAAAGAGAUUGAGGCAGGCGCGUGCAUACGAAGCCAGCGGUGCGAUGAAGGUGGUGGCUGUGAGAGAGAAGAGUUUGCGGCAGCUGGAUCUGGUAGUGCUCAGCGACUGCGGGUGGUGGGCGACGGGUUGGGGUAGCGCGCGCGAGGGAGCGGCGGGCUCCAGGUGGCGCGCGAGGAGCGGCGAUGGCGUCGGUGGAGCAGGAAGAAGGGAGGAGACCUGGGGCGGCGGCGGCUCUGGUUGAAGGAACCAGAGAAAAGGGAAAAACAGGGAAAGAAGAAAGAAAGAAAGAAAGGAAGGAAGAAAGAAGAAAAAAAAAGAAAAGAAGAAAAAGAAGGAUUUUUUUUUUUUUUUUUCAAAAACAAUGCUUACGUAGAUCUGAAAUCUUUUUUUUUUUUUUUUUCAGGUCGUCAAACACCGCGUGGGCGCGCCAAGAUUGGCCUUCAUCCCCUGACCUUAGGAGACACCAACACCGCAGGGGCACGCCAAGAUUUCACUUCCUGAUUUCAGUAAAGGAAAUAUGAGUACUGAUACUACCCAACGAGUAAAUGACCCAAUGCAAAAGAACCAACUAGAAAGAACAAAACAACUAGAAAUAACAAAACUAAUAUUUGGGUUGCCUCCCAAACUAGCGCCUUUCUUUAAUGUCUUUGGCUAGACAUAGCCCAUAAUUUGCUUAAACCAAGCAAAUUGGGUCCUCCAAAUGCGUCAUCUCUACUCGCUCAACUGGAGCCUCAUCAUAAUAAGGCUUGAGACGAUGACCAUUCACCACAAAUUUCUUCUCCGUCUUCAGACUCUGGAUCUCCACUGCACCAUAAUCAAAGACAUUAGUGACAACAAAGGGACCAAUCCAACGAGAACGUAAUUUACCUGGAAAUAGCUUCAAUUUGGAGUGGUAUAGUAGAACUUUUUGCCCGCAGACGAAUGUCUUUCUAGAGAUCUGUUGGUCAUGAAAGAUCCGAUUCUUCUCUUUAUAGAUCACUGCAUUCUCGUAUGCUUCAUUUCGGAUUUCUUCCAACUCUUGCAAUUGCAACUUUCUUUGAAUUCCGCCUUCCUCGAUAUCCAUAUUGCAUUGCUUGACUGCCCAAAACGCUCUAUGCUCAAACUCUACCGGGAGAUGACAUGGUUUUCCAAAUACCAAUCGGUAAGGAGACAUGCCAAUGGGUGUCUUGUAUGCCGUCCUAUAUGCCCAUAGUGCAUCCUCUAGUCUCACACUCCAAUCCUUCCUAUCGGGUCGGACCAUCUUUUCUAGAAUUGAUUUGAUCUCUCGGUUCGAUACUUCCGCCUGACCAUUUGUCUGAGGAUGGUAGGAUGUAGAGACUUUGUGCAAGACACCGUAUCUCCUAAACAUUGCAGCGAUCGUUUUGUUGCAGAAAUGAGUACCCCGAUCACUUACAAUUGCUCGUGGCAUCCCAAAGCGGACAAAAAUAUUAGACUUAACGAAUUCUGCAACCACUUUGGAAUCAUUAGUGCGGGUGGCCUUUGCUUCUACCCACUUCGAAACAUAAUCUACAGCAAGCAAUAUAUACAAAAAACCACAGGACGAAGGAAAAGGACCCAUAAAAUCAAUGCCCCAAACGUCAAAAAUUUCAACAAAAAUCAUUGGGGUUUGAGUCAUUUGACCCCUACGAGAGAUAUUACCCACUCUUUGACACUUAUCACAUGACUUACAAAAUGAGUAGGCAUCUUUGAAUAGAGUUGGCCAAUAGAAUCCACUCUCUAGCACCUUACGAGCCGUUCUCUUUGGUCCAAAGUGACCUCCACAUGCAAAAGAAUGACAAUAGGCUAGAAUGGAUUGAAAUUCAGCUUCACUUACACAUCUACGGAUGAUUUGAUCGGCACCCCGCUUCCAGAGGUAAGGAUCAUCCCACAUGUAGAAUUUUGCAUCGCUCCUCAACUUAUCUCUCUUUGCCUUAGGCCAUCCUGUAGGAAAUUUGUCAGUGACUAGAAAAUUAACAAUAUCUGCAUACCAAGGCAAGGAUGAAUUAAUAGAAAAUAAAUGCUCCUCAGGAAAUGCUUCUCUCAAUGGGAGGUCCUCUUCGACGACUUGUACUCGACUCAAGUGAUCUGCUACCAGGUUCUCUGCCCCUUUCUUAUCUCGGAUCUCCAGGUUGAACUCUUGUAACAACAAUAUCCACCGUAUCAAUCGCGGUUUUGCCUCUUUCUUGGUCAACAGAUACCGCAAAGCUGCAUGAUCAGAAAAAAUAAUAACUUUAGCACCAAGUAAAUAAGACCGAAAUUUUUCUAAGGCAAAAACAACUGCUAAAAGCUCCUUUUCGGUGGUUGAAUAGUUCAAUUGAGCUCCGUUCAAGGCUCGAGAUGCGUAGUAGAUAGCAUGAGCUGCCUUUCCUACUCUUUGAACCAAUACCGCACCCACUGCAUAGUCGCUGGCAUCACACAUGAUUUCGAAUGGGAGGUUCCAGUCAGGGGGUUGGAUAAUAGGUGAGGUGGUCAAUAACUUCUUUAACUUAUUGAAUGCCCCCUUACAUGUUUCAUCAAAUUCGAAGGAUACAUUUUUUUGCAAAAGUUGGAACAAGGGUGCUCCAAUUUUCGAGAAGUCCUUGAUGAACCUUCUAUAGAAACUUGCGUGACCCAAGAAAGAACGAACUUCCCGCACAUUCGCGGGGUAAGGUAAAGUAGAUAUAACAUCUAUUUUUGCCUUAUCAACCUCAAUACCUGUAGAUGAUACAACAUGACCCAAAACUAUCCCGUGUUCAACCAUAAAAUGACAUUUUUCCCAAUUAAGCACGAGAUUAGUUUCUAUACACCUUACUAAGAUCAAUUUCAGGUUAUCUAGACAGUUUUCAAAACUUUCACCAUAUACACUGAAAUCGUCCAUGAAAACCUCAAUAAUCUUCUCAACAUAUUCUGAAAAGAUACUUACCAUGCAUCUUUGGAAGGUAGCAGGUGCAUUACACAAUCCAAAUGGCAUCCUUCGGUAUGCAAAUGUUCCAAAUGGGCAGGUGAAAGUAGUCUUCUCUUGGUCUUCGGGUGCGAUGGCAAUUUGAAAAUAACCUGAAAAUCCAUCCAAGAAACAAUAGUAAGCUCGACAUGCUAAUCGCUCCACCAUUUGGUCAAUGAAAGGGAGGGGGAAAUGGUCCUUUUUCGUGACGGUAUUUAGCUUUCGGUAAUCGAUACACUGUCGCCAUCCGGUGGGCUUUCGAAUUGGUACGAGCUCACCCUCUUGGUUUGAUUCCACUGUCACCCCUGCCUUUUUCGGGACCACCUGUACUGGACUUACCCAUGGGCUGUCUGAUAUUGCAAAUAUAAUUCCAACGUCCAGCAGUUUUAAAAUCUCUUUCUUUACGACCUCCAUCAUGAGAGGAUUUAAUCUCCGUUGAGCUUGCCGUAUAGGUUUAGCAUUCUCCUCGAGUCGAAUUCGGUGCAUACACACCGCGGGGCUAAUUCCCUUGAUAUCGGCGAUAGUCCAUCCUAUCGCCUGCUUAUGUUCCCUAAGAACUCGAAGUAGUUUCUCUUCUUGAACCUUUGAUAAACCCGCGGAGAUGAUCACUGGAAGUGUCUCCCCUUCACCCAAGUAUGCGUACUUCAGGUGUUUCGGCAGCGGUUUCAGUUCCAAGACAGGUGCCUGCACCACAGAUGGAAGUAACCUUUUGUGAGGUUCAGGUAUAAAAAUGGGUGCGAGGUCAUACCUUGUUUUCAUGGUUGGUAACGUUUGCAACGAUCCAAUCACGCAUUUAAGCUCUUCACUCAACUCUACUCCAGAGGUCGUUUCGGACUCGAAGUGCCUGGUCAGAACGACCUCUAACUCAUCCCUGCCUUCAAUUUCAAAAACCUCCUGUAUAGCAGGGUCAAUAACAUUUACCGAGAAAACAGAGCCAACAUUUGAAUCGGAUGGAUAUUUCAUGGUCUCAAAAAUGUUAAAGUGAAUAAUCUCACCAUCAAAUUCCAUAGACAAAGUACCCUUAUUAACAUCAAUUUUGGUUCGGGCUGUGCUCAAAAAGGGUCUACCUAACAAUAGAGGUGACGGAUCACGGGAGUGUUCAUCCUCCAUGUCGAGCACAUAAAAAUCAGCUGGAAAAACCAAUUCAUUAAUUUUUACCAAAACAUCUUCAAUCAACCCGUCAGGGUAUGCAUUGGUCCUGUCAGCUAAUUGGAUUAUUAUCCCAGUUUCUUUCAAAGGGCCUAAAUUCAAAGAAGCAUAAAUAGAUUUCGGCAUGACAUUAAUCGAUGCUCCUAGAUCUAACAUGGCCUUUCCAAUCAAAAUAUUACCUAUCCUACAAGGAAUAGUAAACAUACCUGGAUCUCCGCAUUUCGGUGGAAGCUUUCUUUGUAGAAUUGCUGAAACAUUCUCCCCAACUAUAACUCGUUCAUCACCCUUCAAUCGCUUGCGGUUGGCACACAGGUCCCUCAAAAAUUUUGCGUACCUGGGUACUUGUUUAAUCGCAUCCAGUAGGGGUAUGUUGAUCUCCACCUUGCGAAAGAUCUCCAGGACCUCUUUUUCCUUGUCUUGCUUCUUUGGUUUCUCUAACCUGCUAGGAAAGGGAGGUGGAUUAGUUUUAGCUGUAGGAAUUGGGUUCGAGGGUACCUUUGUAUUUUUGUUGUCUCUGCCCUCCUCUUCCAAUUCUUUCUCAAUCCGUUCCUCGUCCUUGUCUUUAGGAAUCACCGGUUCGGGUCCUUGAACUUCCUUGCCACUCCUUAAGGUCAUUGCGCUUACAUUCUUUGGAUUUGCCUCAGGUUGAGAUGGCAACUUUCCUUGAACUUGGGACUCCAAACGAUUGAUUGUUAUAGCCAUUUGAUUCAUUUGAUUUUGCAAUGAUUGCACCUGUCCCAAUUGAUUUCUCAUGCUUUGCAAGUCUGAAUCCGUCUUUUGUUGAUUAGCAAGUAAUUGCUUCAUCAUCUCUUCCAUGGACGGACUUGAAUUUGAAGGGGGUGGUGGUGGUGGGCGAGGAUGGUACUGCUGUUGGUGUCCUUGCUGUCUAUUUGGCACAAAGUUAGACUGCCUAUUUCCUCCAUAGCUAAGGUUGGGGUGAUCCCUCCAACCAGGAUUGUAGGUGUUUGAGUAUGGAUCAUACGGCUUUCUUGGCGCGGGCGCGUGGCCAGCCAUGUUCACAUGUUCUGCAGUUUCUUCUUGAACCAGUGGACACAUUUCCGUAGGAUGACCCACGGCAGUGCACACUUUGGCUUGUGAAGCAUUCCCCACAGCUAAUUGUCUUACAAAAGAUGUUAAUUCGGAGAUCUGCUGUUGGAUAGAGGACGUUUCCACCUCAUUCACCCUGCGCGUCGGGAUGUCCUCUCUUGAACCAAACUGUUGUGAGUUCUCAGCCAUCCCUUCAAUCAACUCCCAUGCUCCUCGAGGGGUUUUGUUCACCAACGCCCCUCCACUUGCAGCAUCGAUUAUGCUUCUGUCCCUGAAAAGUAAUCCCUCAUAGAAAUAUUGGAUGAGCAGUUGCUCACUUAUCUGAUGUUGAGGGCAUUUGGUGCACAGUUUCUUAAACCUCUCCCAGUACUCAUAGAGUGACUCGCCUGGGUGUUGUUUGAUGCCACAUAUCUCUUUCCUUAGGCUUGCAGCUCGAGACGCCGGAAAGUACUUGUCCAGAAAUUUUUUCUUCAAUUGAUCCCACGUGGUGAUACUACCAGGUGGUAGGUAGUAGAGCCAGUCUUUUGCGGAGUCCUUCAAAGAGAAGGGGAAAGCCCUCAUCUUUAUUUGCUCUUCUGUAAUUCCCGGAGGCUUCAUACUGUUGCAAACGACGUCGAACUCUUGCAAGUGUUUGUAGGGCUCCUCACCUGGUAGACCAUGAAAAGAUGGCAAGAGAUGAAUUAAACCAGAUUUUAGUUCAAAGGGAGUGUCAUCAUUUAAAUUUGGAAAAGUAAUGCACAAGGGCUGCUGAUUUAAAUCAGGAGCAGCCAACUCCCUUAAUGUUCGUGUAUUUGCCAUAGUGACUUCCUCUUGGUCUGAAUCACUCGAAUUGUCACCAGACAAAUUUGUCGGCUCAACCUCUGGAUCUAGUCCCUGAGGUGCAAUACCGUAUUGCUCUUCUCUGAGCCGCCUGGUUUCUUUCCUCGUUCUACGCGCGGUCUUCUCUAAUUCAGGGUCGAAAACUAAUUCGCCUGUACGAGAAGAGCGAGGCAUAAACUAGAAAAAUACCAGAAAAUUAGAACAAAAAGAAACAAAUAAUUAACGCCAGUCCCCGGCAGCGGCGCCAAAAAUUGACAGGUGUCGGGCCUGUGCAAUAAUAAAUACCUACUCGAGAAAAAUGAAUUUUCUGUGUAUAGUAGUGAGUAGGGUCGAAUCCACAGGGACUGGAAAAAAAUUCGAUUCUUUUCAAGUUCGGGACACGGGGGAUUUUUAUCAGAUAAAACUAAAAAUAAAUAAUUAAACAAUUUAACUAAAAAUAAUUAAACAAUUUAACCAAAGAUAAAUAAUUAAUUAAUACAAUUGUAAAUAGCAAUUAAAUAAAUGAUAAAUAAAUUCUAGCCAAGGAUACAACUACGCAGACACAGUCCAUUCAUCCGAUCAUUGAUGCAAAGAAUGUUCACUUAAUUUAAUUAAUAGGCUAGUUAUAGCCGCUGAUAAACUCUAACGACCAGCUUUUCCUUAAUUUAUUGAUAACCAAGGUACGACCGUUGAUUACCUCUAACCAGGAAAUACUCCUAGGUACGACCGUAGGAAUUAAUUUCCUAAUUGCAUUAAAAACUAGAAAAACCUAGCCCAAAUUAAUAACACGCUACGAGGGUUAUUUAAAUCAGAUUGCAUGUUCCCCUAGUAUGUGAAAAUACUAAUUGUCACUAAUAUUAACCAACUAAACAAUUACGGAUUUAAUUGAUUAAUUUGACAAGAGAUUAAAAAGUCAAAUUGCACAUCGGGCCCUUGAUAUCCAAUUAACAAAAUAAUCCCAUGGAAAUUAAAACAGAAAACAUGCAAAUAUUAACAAAUUAAGGAACACGUAAAAUUAAUUAGAUCUCACAGAUAUAUGGGACUGCGUCGUCGCGUUGAUCCUUGACUAGAGGAGAAAAUUAGCCACGCCUCAUAAGAAAAUUCCCACACAAUUCAAUUGAAUUCGAAGACAUAAAUAACUCUUGCUAGUAACUGAAAAUGAAAAUUUGAUUCUCCGUAAUCUAAUGCAAUAAAACUAGUUUCAUGGAAGAAACUAGUUGAAUGAAAGAGACCGAAGAAAUAAAAAAAACAAACUUCUGGAGAAAACUUCACACCCAAAAUCCAACAAACCAAUCAACUACCUAUUCUACCUACGGAGCUUCUUGAAGAGCAAACUAAAAACUAGUCUCCCGCUUAUGAAGCUAUCAUCUGAUAUAUAUAAGGCAAGCCUUUAGUCUUCAUAGCUUUUUCAUAGUCUUUUCUCCUUGAGCCCACUAAUCUAGUGCCUUGUUAUUUUAUUGGAGCACUAGUCUCCCACAAUAAUCAAAGCUACGUAGGAAGCAAAUAGAAAAGCUACUUUCAUCAUCAAAGUCCACCUAUGGCUAAUGAGUACAUCUCCCAAAAGAAGAACACAUUUUCUAAAUCAAUGUUACGUGGUCCCUGCAGAAUUCUCUCCUUUUGACUUCUUAUUGCUAGUGGACUUGUCAGGACUUAAUAAUAGGAAGGCAACUCUACAUCAGCAAUUCCGUUGGUUUGCACAAUUUGGGCUGAUUGUGGAAAGCUUUUAGAAGCUUUCACGUGUGGAGAGAUCUUCUCAAGAAGGUUCCCUUUUAGCACUUUUCUGCUCCACUUUCUGAAAUUAUAUCCAAAUACCAAAUAUAAAUAUAUAUUGACAAUUAAAGCAAUAUCUGGCAAGGAUAAAGAGGAGAAUUAACAAUAAAAUUACUAACAAUUAACAUCCUAUCAGAAGCCGGCGAAGGGGGUGGGUCAACGGGUUACUGGUUCGACCGGUGGGUGAGUGGUUGAACCGGUGGGUCACUAAAUAUAUUUAAAUAUUAUAUUUCAUAAUUUUUUAUAUAAGAUAUAUGAUAUAAAUUGUAAUAAAUAAUGCCAUAGUAAAAGCUCAUUUAAUUUAAUUUGCUAUAAAAUAAUUAAUUCAUAUAAGAAUCAAUUAAAUAUAAAGUUAUUUAGUAAUACACCAAACUUCAAGUGUAAAAUUUUAUCUAUAUUUAGUGUAAUAAUGUAGCUUAUUUAUGAAUUUUAAGUGUAAAAAAUUAUUAAAUUAAUAUUUAUCUUUGAAAUGAAUUAUGUAAUGUGUUAUUUUUGAAAUUUAUUUUAUAAAUUAUAGAGUUUGGAGGGUACUAAUUUUUAUUAAAAGAUUUCAAAUAAAUUUAUUUUAGAGAAAGAAAGAUAGAAUUGAAAAAACAUAUAUAUAUUAUAAUAAAGACCUUUUAUUAACAAAUUUCGGAGUAGCCUAGUGGUAAGCAUGCAUUAUUGAUUGGUGGAUGUCCAAGGUUCGAGCCUUGACAAAGGCAAUAAAAGUUUUUCACCAAAAACGGGCCGGGAACGGUCCGUGGACAAACCCGGCCGGGUUUCCCGAUUAGCCCGGUCCGAUCGCCAGGCCGUUGACUAGUCAACGGUUCCGUAGCCCAAACGAUCUAAUUUAAAACUCGGCCCGGCCCAAUGGCUGGUUCACCGGUUCGACCGCCGGGCCGGGCCGGGUUUAUUAACUAUGCUUUGAACACCCUUGAGUGACAGAGGAUAACGCGGAGGAAACCAGGGACACAAACGAAAUUCAUGUACGAGGCAUACCUAAAGAUAAAAUAAGAAGAAGGGAAACAUUACAAAUUAAAAUCCAGAAGAGGAUCAUAUAAAUAAAUUUUUAAAAAUUGAAAAAACAAAUUUUAUUGUCUCGGUUGUGAGCAUUUACCGAGAUAAUAAAGGUGCUACUCCUCAUACUAUGAAAUUUGUGAGCUACUCUCUCGUGAAAGAAAACGUCUCUCUUUUCAUCCUCACACUAUGAACUAGAAAGAAUACUCUAAAGGUGCUGAACCUAGUGCUCUACUUUCUCGUGCUUAGGUUCUCCAAAUGGUUAUUAGAUAGAUAAACCGGAGAAAAUGUUCAAUGAAGCUAUUCUUGCUACAAGGAUUCUCACGUCUUUUUCAUUUAUAAUUUACCUUCCGUAUAUCAUAUCUUGAAUUCUAUUAUGAUGAUUCGUUUAAUAUCGAGUUGUAUUUUGGCUUUAGUUACUUAUCCUUCAAUGUGAAAGUGAAACUUUUGAUCAAUCAAUAAAACAAACAAAUGAAAGGCAAACCGAAAGAUUGCUUGUACAUAAACUUUAUAAGUAACAUCACAUAUUGCUUUUUGCAACAUAAAUAGUAACAUGUGUCUAGCCAACCCCGUAUACAGGGAAGGGAGGCCAGCCCUUAAUUUAUUAAAGAUGAGGCGACAAUAAUACAAAGAGUUCGAGAGAAGCCAGGUCUAGCACCAAAGCUAAAACUAAUUCUAUAGAAGCCGUACAUGCGGAAGAGACCUGAUGUCUAAAGAAAUAGCCACACAAAUGCUGUUCAGGAGACAAUCCAUAGAAUCAAAGAGCGCAAUGGAUCCUCUAUAUCACACCCUGUCUCACAUCCUAUCUCACUCUUUCUAAUCCUGCCAAGUGUCUCUUUAUAAACCAAAUCCUAAAACAACCCAACUCGGAUCAUAUUUAAUUAGUUAACUGAUUAAUCGGGCAGAAAAACUUAAUCUCUAUAACCGGUUAUCAAUUAAAAUAAAAACCCAAUCACAAAAUUAGAGAUUAAACAUCUUUUAAAAAAUCAUCAGAAACCCUGAGUCGUCAUCUCCUCCACCGUACCCUUCGAAACAAAAGAAUCAAAUAUCACUCCUUCUCAAAAGAUUAAGUUUUUCGGGUGAAACUCAUCAUCUCAAUCAAAUAGAUCACUCACAGAGAUUUAAAAAAGAAAUCCCGAAACUUAACAACUAAAACAAGACGAACCCAUCAAUCCCUUUGCAUAAAUUCUUUGAGUUGCCCACUGAGGAAAAGAGUAACUAUUUGAAGGAAAAUUCACCUACUCCCGCUGUUCAGUUGAAGACUAGCUUUCGUUUAGCAGAAUCGGUUUUGGAGUGGUGAUUUUCUUAUGCAUUGGUAUUUCCCAGAUGCUGAAAGUGUUAAUCUCUGGCCUGCUGCGUCCAAGAUAGUUCUUAAUUUCAUGGAUCCUUUUUAUUUUCUCAACGAUUUACUGGAAAAUAUGGGUAAUUAUUAUUCAAUGAAGAAGCAGAGAAUCAUCAUGAAUUUGGAUUUCUCAAUUCACAGGUGGUGGCGUCAUUCAAUUGCCCUUCCCGAAACACGCAAGAUGAUGAGUUUCACCCGAAAAACUUAAUCUUUUGAGAAGGAGUGAUAUUUGAUUCUUUUGUUUCGAAGGGUACGGUGGAGGAGAUGACGACUCAGGGUUUUCGAUGAUUUUUUUCCCUUGUUUAAUCUCUAAUUUUGUGAUUGGGUUUUUAUUUUAAUUGAUAACCGGUUAUAGAGAUAAAGUUUUUCUGCCCGAUUAAUCGGUUAACUAAUUAAAUAUGAUCCGAGUUGGGUUGUUUCAAGAUUUGGUUUAUAAAGGGACACUUAGCAAGAUUAAAAGGAGUGGGAUAGGAUGUGAGACAGGGUGUGGUAUAGAGGAUCCGUUGCGAUCAAAGAGGCAAUCCGAACCCAAACACAGAAACGCAAAACCAUCUGCCACAAAAUUAGCUUCUCUAAACACGUGACAGACCUACACUUGUUAUUCAAGAACUAGACGUUUUAUUUUCCACGAAGUAUUAAAUAUUGACCAUCUUGUCAACCCACUGCUGUGGAUCAUCUAGAAAAGCGCAGAAGAAUAAGUUUCUACCAUAAAACUGCGGAACCCUUCUGAUAGCAAAACUCAAGACUGGCCAAUAAAGCUGCAGCUUUCACUGAAAGGACAUCCAUCUCCCCAAAUUCCUUAUAAUAAGCAAAAACAAGAUGACCGUCAUGCUCACGCAAAACACCCCCACCUGAGGCACACCCAUUAGAAACACUGGCAUUGGAGUUGAGCUUAAGUGAAUGCAAAGCUGGCUUAGACCAUGAAAUUGCAACAACUCAUCGCACCCGAGGCAUGGCCUUAGCAAAUCGCGACCAACGGCAAUCAUUGUCCCCCGAGAAAUAAGACUUUAAAAAUACUCCAGAAGUGCCCAUUUGGUCCAAGAAAUUCUCGACAAGUAAUAUUACUUGAUCAGAGGAAAAGGCAACUCCUUGAAAUCUUGACGUAUUUCUUGCCUUCCAAAGGAACCAAAGAACUAAGAUGGGGAUGAGGAAACGAAUAUGAGACCUAAUGACCUUCAAAUUCGAACAAGCCCAUGGGAUAAGCUGUGACGAGAUACCUCUAGCAUUAAAUACGAGCACCCCAAAUAUCUUAGCAAAAUGAGUCCAAAUAGCAGCUGCUACAGGCCCAUGCAAAAACUAAUGCUCAAUUACAGAUUCCCUUAGAUUCACUAACAAAUGCCCGAUAAAUUCUCUUAGAUUCAAUAUUAUGAUCCCACAGAAAGGAGUUGCAAAUCCUUCCUAAUGCUACCAUUACAGAUUUUGGAGGGGAAAGCACUUGAAGCAAAAACAAAGGAAUAGAACUCAAAACAUGACGUAAAAGAAUUAUUUUGCCUCCUAUGCUUAACAUGUUGGUGCUCCAAUGGAAGAGCCUCUGGCGGAGCUUUGACAAAAUGCCACCACAAGCCACAGAGUUUAACUUUCCCUUGACCAAAGGCGCACCCAAAUAUCUAAUUGGAAACUCCUGCUGUUGGAAUCCCAACGCCGAAGAAACUAACAUGACUUGCUGCGGCAAAGCCCGAGAAGAAACCAAAAAAGAGCUUUUCCCUACAUUAACAUUUUGGCCAGAGAAGGAUUGAUAACUCGACAAAAACUCUUUCACCCCAUGCAGACAAUCCUCGGAACAAUGACGAAAAAUGACUUUAUCAUUCGCAAAUGCAAGGUAUGGAAUUUUGGUCCCAGCCGAGACCAAAAACUUACGUUUAUCCUCACUAAAUAAUUGUUGAAGACCUCUCCCUAACGGGGGGAUAAUGGAUCACCCUGCUGCAUGCCCCUGGAUGACUUGAAGAACCCCGUUGGCUCCCCAUUUAUGAGCACAGAGAACCAAGAAUUUGAAAAAGUGUAAAACAACAAAUCUACCACCCAUUCAAUAAAACCAAACUUGUGCAACAUACUAAGCAAGAAAUGUCACUCCACCCAAUCAUACACCUUUUCCAUGUCUAAUUUUAAAAUCAAGUUUGGGAAGGCCAAUUGUCUAUCAUGGUCCAUCACCAAUUCCUGCGCAAGCAGAAUGUUGUCUACAAUACCUCAUCCUGGCACAUACCCAGUUUGCCAAGGCAUAAUAGUCUGAGGUAGAAUUUUAUUGAGCCUAUUCACCAAAAUUUUUGAAAUUAUUUUGGAGCUAACAUUGCAUAAACCAAUAGGGAGAAAAUCACAUCAAGAAGAAGCUCUGUCCACUUUGGGAAGAAGAACAAUUAAUGAACUUGAGAAACCACGUGGUUGUUCCAUUACCCUGAAGUAAUCAUGCACUGCCGACAAAAGAUCCUACUUGACUAUAUCCCAGCAAAACUGGGAAACUACCACCAAAGCCAUCUAGGCCCGGAGCACUAUCUAUAUCCAUGGAAAAGACCACCUAAUGAACCUCUUCAAGAGAUGGAAGCUGCUGCAUCAUAUCAUUUUCGGCCUCAUCAACUGCUAGAGUCUCAAAAGAAAAAUUCAGAGAGGAAACACAACCUUCUAAAGAAAAUAAUUGCGUUUAGAACUCCACUACCAAGAGUUUGAUUUGAUCUAAAGAAUAAACCCAGCCCGCAUUCUCAUCCUUAAUGCGAGAUAUGUAACUGCAAUUUCUCUGUUGCUGCAUAACUGAAUGAAAAUAUGAAGUGUUUGCAUCUCCCAACUUGAGCCAUUUAAUCCCGACUUUUGCUGCCAAAACUCUCCUUCAACCGCCAAUGCCCUCAUAUACAUCGAUCUUGCCUCAUUGAGAUGAACUUUCGAUUGCUCAUCCCUAGAGCCAUCGUACUCAAAUUCCCUAAACUUGUAAAACUCCUCCGCUUGUUCGACUACCGAAAAAAUAUUACCAAAAGUUUCUCGACUCCAAACUCUUAAUCGUUUACGAAGGGACACCAAUUUGGAGUGAAAUAGAACCAUACUAGUACCAAAUCGAGAUUUCCGCCAGUCCGCUUCCAUAACACCCAAUAAGGAUGCUCACCUCGGUCUUCGUCAAGGCCGAGGUUAUCUCACCUCGUCCGUCAUACAAACCGAGAAGAUAUCUUUUAGCCAUAACUCCUUCCUUUGUCCUCGGUUGUAUCUCAGGUCUACAUCACGGAAGACCUCUGUACUUUAGGUGUGUCAUCCCGGCUCCACACGGAUGAUAUUAACCUGCCUGACAGCACACUGGAGGCCAUUGCUUUAUCUGAAAAAACAACUGGUGCUCUUAAUGGCUACUGCACAGGACUACUUGUCAGCAUGUCCAGACUGCUACAGUGUCAGAGUUAGACCUCCAAGUGCAGAACAGAGCCGUAAUAGUCAAGAUGGGGGUCCCGCUAACAUAAGCCCACCGUCCUGUCCUCCACUCCUGCUCUAUAAAUAUCCCCUGUUCACUCCCAACAAAGGAGGAUACUAUUGCAUUUAUACUGUUCAUUACUCUUCAUUUUCUUUCAUACUGACUUGAUCAUCGGAGUGAUCUCAGGAGACAAAGCCCCGCCUCCCACUUCGGACAAGCGAAUCCAUCACACCUCACUUGAGACAGGACUAAUUCAGGUCGGUUCGGCUACCUACCAGAAAUCACCUCGUCAAUUGGCGCCAUUUGUGGGAACGAGAUUGCUUCCAAAAUGAGACCUACACGCUCUAGGAGUAGAAGAGUUCCCUCCACUAGAGUUGAGCCCAGCUCCGCUGCUCAGCAAGACCACGAGUCUGAGGAGCAAGGGUCCCCGAGGACCCAACCUGCAAAUGAAGACGCCAUCAUCCAGAUGGCCGAGUUUGUAGCAGACAAUCCCAACAUCUUCGAGGAGUGUGAGAGGUACUUCAAGAGACAGGGAAAGGAAAAAGUUGAAUCUUCAAAAAGGAGAUCGACAAAAUCCCCUGAGAUGCCUUCCGAGAAGGACUCUGAUGACAGGCAUCUUGCCCGGAAUACCUCAAAACGCGCCUUCUCCAAGGCGACCUCCAAGAUUGACUCUAUUUCCGGGCGUUUUCCCGGGGUCUACUGGGAAGACGAACUGAAGACGCACCUCGGUGGCCUAAGGGGCUAGCCGCCGACUACAUGAGGGCUCCGUCCUUCACUGAUGACAUCAAUGGGGAGAGAGUUCUCCUCGAUUUUAAGGGUCCGGUAUUGCAGCCCUAUGAUGGACGAGGUGACCUCGAGAAUCACUUUCGCGCCUUCAUCACGAGAUUCCGCCUCUACUACGUGCCUGAAGCCAUAAUUUGCUUAGCUUUCCCCAUAUUCUUGCAAGGGACAGCUCGAAAUGGUUUUGGAGCUUGGAACCAGGGAGCAUUUCCUCACUGGAUGAGCUAGUGGACAGGUUCAUCCACCACUUCGUAUCAUCUCGCCCAGUUACGAAAAUCUCGGCCUACCUGCUAAACAUACAACAGGCUCCAGGGGAGUCUCUGCGUUUGUAUGUGUAGAGGUUCAAUAAGGAAAAUAUGCAGAUACCCGAUCAAAAUGAGCAGGUAACCAUAGCUGCAUUUACUAAUGGGUUGAUCGCAAGAACAUUCCACACAGAAAUUCACCGGGAUUACCCGCGGACACUUCGAGAAAUCUGGGAAAUGGUAAACCGAAAUAUCCGAAGUGAGGACCUGAACCACAUGAAACGGGAAGUCCAAACAACCCGCGCUGGGCAAGAGUCCCGAAGGAAGAAAGAAACUAGCUGAGCUGAACAAGGCGCCAGCAGCUCGUCGAAUCCAUUCCGAGACCGCUGAAACGUUUUUGAGAGGAUUGUGAAGAGAAGGUCGCCCAUCUCGGACACCGAGUUGACUCCCCUCAACUCUAACCGGUCUCACAUUCUGGCGGUAAUGAGGCAAAACCACCUCGGUCGAGCCCCUCCUGAGAUUUUGGGUAGGAGGGAGAAGAAGAACUCCAGCCUCUAUUGUGCCUACGAUCGAAAUGUUAGGUACGAGACCGAGGAUUGUAAUGACUUGAAGAAAGAAAUUGGAAACUUGAUCAGACAGAGAUACUUGAAGCAAUUCGUCUGCAAGGAAGGAGGCUUCAACCGAAAUGCAUCCCACCAAAAUAACCGAGGUCCUCAUCGAGAAAAUAGGCGGGACACGAAAAGUCAUUGCCGUGGGCCUGAGGACCAUAGGGAGGACCAAAGGCCUCCCUGAGACGGCUCCCCUGGCUACGGCUCUAACAUCGUUGGAGUCAUCAACACAAUUGCAGGUGGUCCGACGGGAGGAGACAACCAGAACUUCCGGAAAUAGACCUACCGUCAAGUUGGUCUGGAAGCUGCCGAGCCGAGCUCCACGCUAUCUGAUGUGAUCACUUAUGGUCCCAGCGACCCUUUUCCUACUGCCUCUAGCAACUACGAAACUCUCGUGAUUGAAGUCCUCAUCAAUAAUUAUAAAGUUAAGAAGGUUUAUGUCGAUCCCGGCAGCUCAGUAGACGUCUUGUACUACCGAAUUUUGGAGAGCUUGAAACUGACCAGAGAGCAGCUCACUCCUAUCAGGACCCCUUCGUCUAUUUCGGAGGACACGUGGUCCACCCAGAGGGGAUGGUAUCCCUAAUGGUGACUGUUGGCCAUCACCCCCACUGCCGAACUAUACCCGUUAGUUUUGCGGUUGCCAAAACAGAUUCUCCAUAUAAUAUGUUGAUAGGCCGGCCCACGCUCAACACCUUAAGGGCUGUGUACUCCUCCUACUACCUGAGUUUCAAGUUCCCGACACCUGCGAGUGUGAUCGAAGUGAGCAGCGAUGUGAACACGGGCAAAGAAUGCUACCUCGCCACCAUCCAGGCCGCAGUUACUCCCCAAACUGAAUCAAAUGUUGAGGAAAAGAGGCCAACUGUCCUUUCCAUAGACAUCAUUGAUCUUCUGAAAGCCAGAAAGCCUGGCAGGCUUGAACCCGGAGACGAGGUGGAGGAAGUGACCUUGGACGAGGUGAGGCCUGACCAAAUGAUCUAAGUGGGGACUUGUCUCCCCUCGCCCCUCAAAGAAGAAAUAAUCAACCUGAUAAGGGAGUACCGAGGCGUUUUCGCAUGGUCUGCCGAUGAAGUGGUCGGAGUGCCUCACGAGCUCAUGAUUCACCAACUUAACGUCAAUCCAUAGACCCAUCCUGCGAGACAAGAAUGUAGACACUUCGGUCCUGAACGCAGUAAGGCCAUAUCCAAAGAGGUCAACAAACUCUUGCCCGCCAAGAUGAUCCAUAAAGUCCAAUACCCCACCUGAUUGUCCAACCUCGUCAUGGUUAAAAAGGACACCGGUGGGUGGAGAAUGUGUGUGGAUUUCACCGAUGUUAAUAAAACUUGCCCUAAAAACGGUUACCCUCUACCGAGAAUAAACGCCCUCAUCGAUUCGGCCAUGGGGCAUGAGAUCAUCUGCUUCCUAGACGCCUUUAAAGGAUACCAUCAGAUAGGAAUGAGUGGGGAAGAUCAAGAAGAGACGGCAUUCUACACCGAUCGAGGUGUCUACUGCUACACCACAAUGCCCUUUAGGUUGAAGAACGCCGGGGCGACCUACCAAAGGUUGGUCAACCGUCUCUUCAAUGAUCAGAUCGGCCGCAAUAUGGAGGGCUACAUGGAUGACAUUCUCUUGAAGAGUCAAACUACUUCGGACUUCCUACCCGAUUUAAAGGAGGUGUUCGGCAUUUUUCGAGACUCCAGGAUGAUGCUCAACCCGAAGAAAUACUUUUUCAGAGUCACUUCGGAGAAAUUCUUAGGAUACCUGGUCUCCCACCGGGGAAUCGAAGCUAAUUCCGAUAAGGUGAAGGUCAUUCAGGACAUGUCUCCACCUCGAAACAUCCGGGAAGUUCAAAGGUUAAAUGGCCGCCUGGCCGCGUUGAACCGCUUCCUGUCUCAAUCCGCUAAGAAGGCUUUACCCUUCUUCAAGGUGUUGAAGACAGCUGACCAGUUCGCUUAGACAGAAGAGUGUCAACAUACCUUUGACCAAAUGAAGGAAUACCUACAUCACCUUCCCACUCUUGCCUUACCUCGGCCUGAAGAGAGGUUGUACCCAUACCUAUCUGUGACAGACAAGGCUGUCAGUGCUGUUCUCAUCCGAGAUAAGGGAACUCAAGUGCCCGUCUACUAUGUCAGCCGGAUUCUAUACGGGCCGGAAACUCGAUACAUCCGAGUGGAGAAGCUCGUCCUAGGGUUGGUUCACGCAGCGCGACGGUUGAAGCCCUACUUCCUCGCCCAUCCCGUAUCCGUGAGGACAGAUCAGCCUAUUCGACAGAUAUUGGUGCGUUCCGAGACUUUCGGACGUUUUAUCAAGUGGGCUGUCGAAUUAGGAAAGUACGACCUGUCGUAUGAGUCUCGGACGGCACUUAAAGCCCAAGCAUUAGCAGAUUUCUUAGCCGAGCUCACAUUCUCUGUGAGCCAAAACACUACCUCAGAACCGUCCGAACCCCAAUGCUAGACGCUGUACUUGGAUGGAUUCUCCAACAGUGACGACAGUAGAACAGGACUACUCUUGGAAGAUCCUCACGGAGAGGUGUGUUCGUAUGUCCUCCGAUUUGACUUCUUCACAACCAAUAACGAGGCCGAGCACGAGGCUCUAAUUGCGGGUCUUCGGUUAGCCCACAGACUCGGUUCUCGGCACAUCCAAAUCUACAGUGACUCCCAACUUGUGGUAUGCCAAGUACUUUCUGAAUAUGAAACUAAGAAGGAAACCAUGCAAUGGUACCUUUCAAAAGUUCGCCAACUUAGUGCAUGCUUCGAGUCAUUUAAAAUCCAAAAAAUACAUCGAUCACAGAAUCAUCGAGCCGAUACUCUGUCUCGGCUAGUUUCCAUUUCAUUUUCGACCCUCAACAAGAAAGUUCUUGUAGAAGUGGCGACCGAGCCCGGGUACUUAGAAGAAGUGGCCUACCCCGUACAUUCGAGGGACAUAUGGAUAAGUUCCCUCCUCCUAUUCUUAAGCCAAGGGAUCCUGCUUGAUGACCGAGUUGAGGCCAGAAGAGUGCAACGAAAGGCAGCUCACUAUGCCCUUCGAGAAGGCGAGCUGUACAAACGUUCGUAUCUCGGGCCGUGACUGAGAUGCAUCACUCCAGAGGAGGGGCACCUCAUACUCCAGGAAGUUCAUGAAGGCCUGUGUGAGGCCUAUCUCGGCCACCGGAUACUGGCAAAAAAACCCUGCUCCUUGGGUAUUUCUGGCCCACUAUUCAACAAGACGCUCAGGGUCUCGUUCUUAGCUGCCUUCAUGCCAAUUCCAUGCCACGGAGCAUCAUCAGCCGGCCAACUUCAUGGUCCCCAUCGCCUUACCUUGGUCAUUCAAGUAAUGGGGGACGGGCAUCAUCGGCCCUUUCCCUAAAGCUGUUAGGGGUUAUACCUUUCUCGUAACUGCUGUUGACUAUUUCUUCAAAUAGGUUGAGGCCGAAUCUCUCAGGACCAUCACGGGGCUGGCUGUUCAGAAGUUUUUCUGGAAAUGCAUCGUUUGCCGCUUCGAAAUUCCUCGAGUAAUCAUCUCAAACAACGAAAAGCAGUUUGCUGACAAUCCAUUCAAAGGAUGAUGCGAGAACCUUGGCAUCAAGCAACAUUUCAUCUCAGUUGGCCAUCCACAAGCGAAUGGUCAGGCAGAAAAUUUCAAUCGAACUCUCUUGCAUGGCCUGAAAACCCGAUUGCACCAAACUGGAUCAUCCUAGAUAGAUGAACUCCCCAAUGUCCUGUGGUCCUAUCGGACAAUGCCUAGGUCGGCCACUCAAGAGACUCUCUUCUCCUUGACCUAUGGGUCCGAGGCAGUUAUACCAACUGAAAUCCUUACAUCAAGCCCUCGUAUGGCAGCCUACGCAGUCGAAGUGAACGAAAGGGAAAGACAACUGGACCUCGACCUCGUGGAGGAAAGAAGGGAUGCAGCCUUGACCUGGGCGGCCUCACUCUCUUCCUCCUUGGCCUCGGCCUGAGUAAGUCGCUCUUGGAUGUGGGUCUUCUUGGACUCAGCAACAGCAAGCUACUUCUCCAACUUGGAGAUUUUAUUCUGCAACUUGCCGGAGUCCUGCUCCUCCAGCAUGUCGUUGUACUGACGUGCCAUCUCGGGCACGAAAGUAGUGGAAGAAGCCGUCGCCACCAUGAGACUCUGGAUCACCUCAUGAGGAGUCAACUUCUCCGUAAACUCCGCAUCCCUUGGCAAGUUGGAAAGCAUGAUCAGCUCUUGUGCCGCACGAGAGUGGGUGCACCAGUCAUUAAUUAAGAGUUGCCAGUUCGGACACCAAUAUUCACCAGGGUACACCUGAUCUUUCCCGAAAAAUUAAGAUAAAGAAAGUAACACUCCCCUAUUGUUGCAAUUGAAAUGUCAAAGCAUGAAUUCCACUAGCAAUUGUCCACUUAUCUUGACAACUUCAUGAGUUCCAUUGGAAUUCAUUAGUAAUACCAUCUAAAAUUGGAAAAUGAGAGACAAAUGAAAAACAAUAAAAUAACUCAAACACAUAAUUUAAACAUGAAAUCACACCAAAAUAACAUAAAUAGCCAAAACAUUGGACUGCCUCCCAAUAACCGCUUUUGUUUAUAGUCGUUGGCUCGACUUUUUCACGUCAUUUCUCAAGGAGCUUUAGUUAACGAAUAAUCUACCAUUUUUGGACGUGGUGGAUCAUUAAAAGGUGACUCAAUCACAUGAGUCACGUGUUCUAAUGAUAUAAGAAGUGGAAGUAACUUAUCUAACUCAAGUGAAUCAUAGAUAUUACCUUGCACAUACACCACUUGAAUACUCACCAAAGGAACAUCUACAUAGCUUUCUUGGGCUAUAAUACCAUUAGAACCUAUACAAUUAACAUGUUCCUCAAGAGGGGUGAAAAAUGAGUCGUUAAGGCUCGCCUCUUGCGGUUCAAUGUUAGCUCCAAAUGUACUAUCCUGUGAAAUGGACAUUUCCUCAUUGAAACACGAGUUAGAUUCAUCAUUUUGAUCAAAAUUUAAUCCAUUGUCACAUACAACAUUCCCACCAUUCAUAAUAGGACCAUUUUGCAUAUCAUUAGAGAAAAUAACUUCACAUAAUGCAUACAAUUGGUCUUGUAUUCUACCAAAGUGAGAAAUUAAUUCAUCUAACAUUUCAUCAACCCUAUCAAAACGGUUGGAGGUUGCAUUUGUUAGCUUUUCUAUGGCUAAAUCAAAUUGAUUAGAAGAAUUUUCUACAGCUAGCUCCCAAGAUGCAUUAGAAUCAUUAGCUAAUGGUUCACUUUCUAAUUCCCAAGGUAGAGGUGCAUUAGUUAACUUCUCUAUUGCCAACUCCCAAGAUGGUUUUGAUUCAUAUUGGACACUUUCACGUUGGUAAUCAUAAAAAUUUGGAGAAUCACUAUAUCCACAUUGAUUAUCCCAACCAUACGUAGGAGAAUUGUUCCAAUUAGCACUGUAUUGAUCAAAACAAGAAUUGUAAUGCUCUAAUUCAUCAUAAUAAUCCAUAUUUUGUACUUGUCUACAUGUAUUAGUAGCAUGAUAACCUCCACACAAGUCACAAAUCACAUGAUAAUAAUUAAAAAUAUUAACAUUCUUCCCUUGCUCAAUUUCAUGCAUAAUUGUGUCCAUUUGAACUUGUAGCAUCAUAACAUCAAAUUUAGCUUUUAAGCAUCUUAAACCAUCUUCAAAAGACAUACAUUCAGAAAACUCUUGGUUACCUCUAUUGAAGGAGUUUUGUACUUGGUAACCAUCCAUUGCUAAUCUUCCACUUCUCAAGCAUUGUCCUCCAAAUUGACCUACCCUUCUCAUCACCUAAAAUUGCUUUUAAACUACCUCAAAAGCAAAAUUAAUAAGAAAAAUAGGUAAUGAAACACAUACACACAUAAAACACAAAAAUAACAGAAAAUAAUAUUCACACUAUAACUAAUGAAAUGUCUAAACUAAUAAAGUUGAUCUUCACACCGAUAUUGCCAAAUCUUCCCCGGUAACGGCGCCAAAAACUUGAACAUGCGCAGGGUAUACAUAUAUAAUUAGCUCAUUCACAAUCAAGUUUUAUAUUUCUAAACUCCUAAAUACCCCACACGCGAUUUAUCGCAAGUAUACGAAUCGUGAGUGAGAUAUGGUAUUAAGGGUCGAUCCCAUCGGGAAUAUUGUAAUUAUCGGUGUUUUUCAAACUCCUUUAUUAUCUAGACUACCAUAAAUAUAAAAGUGUAAUAAAAAUUAACACUAGAAAGCUUCUAGAGAUAUGGAAUUCCUUACUACUCUUGCAAAUGAAGUUACCGGUUAAAUGAAUGUUAUUAUCUUAGCUAGUUAUGGCGUAAUUUCCUAAUGUAUGUGAAACCUACUCUCGUAGUAAAUCAACUAUACUUGUAACUAAACCAUACAUAUUCUCGUGGUUAUAAAUUAACUAUAAGUUUAUUUCUUCUAUGAAAUUACAUGAAACAAGUCGGUAAAACCAUAUAGGUGCACCUCUACUCUCGUGAGUGUACUCCCUAGUUUUAUCACUUCCAUGGAUUAGUGUUAAAUUCCAAUUCUCAUUGCAAAUUUAACACCUUUAGAUAAUCACAAUUAAUGGCCAUUUAAUUAUGAUUAGAAUAUCAAAAGUGAUAAAUAACUUGCUCAAAAUAAUAUCACCAAAUAACCAAAUAAACAUCAAUAACAAAAUAUAGAAAGUCCAUCCAUACUCUAGGCAUUAACUUUAAAAAUACAUAAUAAACAUAAAAUCCAAAACUUGUAUAUUAACCAUACUUAAGAAUCCAAUACAAAAGAUAACGAGUUGGAGAAGAGAUAACCCAUGUCACUUGAGUUUCAAUUCCUCCUUUUUCAUCUCCAUCUUCAUCCCAAUCUAGAAUGAUGAACUAACUAGUUAAACUAUCCUACACUAAGGAAAUGAAAGAACUACAUUUUUGUGGUAAUUCUUGCACUCUCCAAGCUCCUGCAAAAAUUGCUAGCUCCAGAGAAUAUGACCAGCCUCAAUUUUUAUCCUAAAAUUCUGAUAUCCUCCAUUCCCCUACCGUAUUUUUCUUCUCCCCUUUGAUUCUCUAAAUCUGGUGUUAACCAAGUCAACAAAACAAAGUUCCAGCCUCUUGAUUCUACCGUAUAUUUUUUACUUGAUAAUAAGCUAUUUUUCUUCCUUUGUGCAUCAGAAACAUGUGUAGCCUACGUUUUCUCUCCAACUCUAGUUGGAAAGUAGUGUGAAGAUGAGAAAAAUGGCUGAGCAAAUUGCAGAAAUUUGGCUGCCAUACGCAUUUUCACUUUUGACCUCAUUUCAACUGUAAUUUUCUCUAUGAUAGCCAUCAAACUAGCUAUUAUACAAAACACAAAAGUUGUAACCCUUUGAAGUAGUGUUCCAAUACUUCAAAAAUCAUCUAAUUUGGAGAUCGGUGGAUGGGGAUAUGGUCGAAAUACCAUAGACUGGUCAAUUUUGGGCUUCAGCUUUCGACCAUCCAGAUAAAUUUCUGUGUUUCGACUUUUUGACCAAGAAAACGACUGAAUUGGGCUUUGAUAUCUCAUACCAAAUGUAAAUAUAUCUCUUAGCUUCAAAAUGGUACCAAGAUCACCUUGAUCCGAUCAUUGUAGCUCAAGAUAUAUCUGAAAUACCAAGAUAUGUCGAAACUAUCUUUACUUGAAUUCCCUCAAUUAAAUGUUUUGCACUUCAUGCCUUCUUUAAACCACUUCAAUUCAUCAAUUAUCAUCCAAUUUUCUUCUCAAUUCACUCCAACUGAUGAUUGAUUCCUUAAACCUACAAAAACAUGAAAUUCUUUCUAUUAAAAUCUAUAUAAAUAUAAUUUUUGGCAAUUAAACCGUAACAUAGAUAUCUUGACCAAAAUCCUAGUUAAUUAACUAUAAAACUAGAUAAAACACAACAAAAUUAACUAAUAAAACAUACAAAAAAUAUGUAAAAUAUCCACUUAUCAUACACAAUAAUUUAAUGAUAAACAAAUCACAAGCAUGAAAGAUAAACGACACACGAUAUUUAAUGUGGUUCGACUCCAUCAUUGAGCCUACGCCCAUGGAGAGAAAACUCGUUCUUUAUUAUGAGAAGAAAACCCUAUACAAAAAUACAAAUUGAAUCUAAUCCCAACCCUUGUAUAUCAUCCCUCAUCUCUCAAGAACUCUCUCUCAUCACCUAUGCAUAAGGUUACAUGAAGCCUCUUGUGUGCCCUUGUGUGUUUCUUUGUAGUGUGCCUAGAUUUAUAAUUCUAAUUUCUAGACUUAUAUAGAAUAGGAAAUAACUUCUAAUCCUAAACAAAAUUAAAAAUUCCUUGACUACUACUUCAAAUAACUAGAACCAAUUAGGAAACUAGUUACUUCCACACAAAACAAGAAUCCUACCUAAAAGAAAUUAAGUCAAUUUCCUAACAAAUCUCCACCUUGGCAAAAAUUUCUUUUAGCAACAAUUUGUCUUCAAUUACCAAAUAAUAUGAUACCGAACUACACACCCAAAUCAAUACAGUCCUGGUAGCAAAUUGAUUCAAUCGGCAAAAUAAACAUGUGUAGUUACCCGAUGAACAUGUGUAGUUAUCUUGAAUCUAACCUCCAGUUGACUCGUGAGAAGGUACCUCAAUUCACCAUCUCCUUUUGCAGGAUUUCUUCUCACCACCACUUGCAAUCCGGAAUCUCCUUCUGUGAGCUCUAACCCUAACCAUUGAGGCAACCAAGUGGUAAAAUCACUAUAUUUCUUCUCAUCCUCAAGACUGUCUCGCCACAUGUGAUUUCCAAGACUCCACCUAAAACGAAAAACUCGUAUUUGUCAGAGUUUUCUAGCGCAUGAAAAUUAGAUCUCUUUGUUCUUUGGGACACGUGCCACACCAUCCAAAAACAUAACCGAAAUCUAAAAGCUACCAGGAUAAAAUAUCAACCGUUGGAGUUGUGAGAAAGUCUCCACCAAUUUAUGUCCAUAAUCAACAUUGGACUCCACUUUUUUCUUGACUCUUGAAUCACCUGCCUAAAUACACUAUCAAGUAUCUCCAUGUUUUUCGACUUUCCAUCCUUCACCAUCAAUGCUUCUUGCCAAGCUAUUGAAACAAGGAUACCACUCAUUAAAUUAUUUAAUUGGCAAUAACUAUCAAUCUACUUGAUCUCAGUAGUUAACUAGGAUCCAACGUUGAACAACCAAACUCUUGAUCCAACCAUUCAAUUUGUUGAGAUCCAAGUGCUUGUAAGCAGCCGAGUUUCACAACCAAGCUCUAAUACCACUUAUUAGGAUCUAAGCGCGGAACAAACAACUAUUGAGAUAUCAAGUACACAACAAUUUAAUAAUAAACAAGUCACAAGCAUGAAAGAUAAACAACAUACAAUAUUUAACGUGGUUCGACUCCAUCAUUGAGCCUACAUCCACGGAGAGAAAACACGUUCUUUAUUAUGAUAGGAAAAUCCUAUACAAGAAUACAAUUUGAACUAAAUCCCAACCCUUGUAUACCAUUUCUCAUCUUUCAAGAACCCUCUCUUACCACCCAUAUAUAAGGCUACAAGUCGCCUCUUGUGUGCCCUUGUGUGCCUCUUUAUAGUAUGUCAAUCCACCUAUUUAUAGAGAAUAUUAUUUGAAAAAAACCCAAAUAACAAUAGGAAUCCAAUUCUAAUUUCUAGACUUAUAUAGAAUAGGAAAUAACUUCUAAUUCUAAACAAAAUAGAAAAUUCAUUGACUACUAUUUCAAGUAACUAAAAUCAAUUAGAAAACUAGUUACUUCUACACAAAACAAGAAUCCUACCUAAAAGAAAUUAAUCCAAUUUCCUAACAUAUAUAUAUACACAUGACACCUUCUCCUUAUACAUUAUGACUUUGUUUUCAUAAGAGCCUCUAACUUCUAACCUUGACAUUACUUCAUAAGGCACAAAAGUCGUACUGGAAUACAAAAGUGACGCUUCGAGUUCUAUCCACAGGCGGACAUUUGUAUUGAUAAUUUGAUAUGGAUCACAAGGAAUUUUACAUGCCCCAAACUCGAGAUAUUGCAUCCUUAUUUAUGCAUGCCACACACGUAGCAAAUGAAGAGCAUGGGUUUUGUGGUGGUGUUUAUUUGAUGCAUCUCGAUUUUCCACUCAUGAAUUUGUCAUUUUGUCUGCCAAAAACAAGAUUCAAGUAACAUAUAUAUACAUAUGCCAAAUGAAGAUUACAAGUAUUAUGGUGGUACUUUAUUUGAUGCAUUUCAAUUUUUUACUCAUACCUACAACCUACCCUAUUCCGGAGACCUCUAACAAAACUAGAUUUUUGCAGCUCCAAUUUCUGUAUAUGUGAAUGAAUAACUUAAUUGCAAAAUUGUUCUGUAUUAUAAGGAUAGGCAAAGUUGUCCCCCCGUAAGAAAUAAAAAUUUGUUCUGGCAGUUAACAUUGGCAUAUAAAUGGCCUUCAUUAGUGCUACUGAUCCUCCAAAUUCAUAACAUACUCCUCCAGGUUCAUGUUUACAGCAUGAAGUAUUAGCAUCACAUUUCACUUUUUCUCCACAUCCCGAAUGCACUUUCCCUUGUCUUUUAUACUUGAAGUCAUCAAGUUGGAACUUGAAACCCUAUCUAGAUCAUCAACAGUAAAUUUUUGUCAAAUCAAAUGAAGGUAUUAGCCAAAGGCAAGAAGAUCCCCUUUAUAAUUUUUCAUGGAAUUCAUGAAUGUUUUUAGUCGAUGUUUGUUGUUAUUCAUAUGCAGAAAUUCUGUCAAUUUUCUCUAAACUGUGAUUGGGCCAAAAUGAGAUAGAUCUCAAAGCUAUAUGGUGCAAUUUGUCCACAGCUAAAGGUCGUGAUGCAAAUUGGGAAUUGGUAAUUAAGUUAUGGCAUGCAAAGUGGGCUUAAUCCAAAAUUUAAUACUAAUGCAAAUCCACUAGCUGAUGCAAGGUUGGGGAGGCAGCUGCUCCCCCAAGACUUUUAGAAAUCCUUUAAUAAUCCUUAGAAAUAAUUAAGUGUUUUCAUGUAUAUCCUUGUAGAAAUUAGAGUUUGCCCCCAAGAUUUUGAAAUCCUUCUAUAUCCCUCUAUAAUGUUAAAGGUUUCCACUUAUAUCAUUGUAAAUAUUAGACUUUGCAUCCCAAAUUUUUAUGAAAAUGCAAGGGUGCCCCCUAGAUAUACAUCUUCACUAAUUUUGCUCUCCCCAAAAUAUGGACUUCUAGGUUGUCGUUGGUUGAAACUUGUAUGCAUUGUAUUGUCCUAUAUCAAUAAAAUUCCAACCUACUUACCAGAAAAUUUUUUUUUUUAAAGUGUUAAAUUGAGUUUCCCUUUAAAAGGAAAAGAAGAACUGGAGUUUCAGGCUUGUAACCCAACUAAUUUCCGUUGCUAAUUCGGUAAUGUAUUUAAUUUGGGAAGAAACAAACCAAAUCAGUGAGAUUAAAGAGAUUAGGAUUUUAUUAGCCUUUAAUAUUUCUGAUUACAUGCAUGAUAAAUUUGUAUUUUGGAAUCAAUCUGACAUAAAGAAGAAUAAAGAAAAUAAGAAAUACAAGUAUCGGAAAUUUGGACUCUAGUUUGAUUCACAAUAAAGAAAAAAACUAAGAGAAGAGUCCAACAACAUCAAAGACUAACUCACUCUCUCCCUUUACAUCUAGCACAAAAUACAUACUACAAAUAUAUGGUACUAGCAUAAUCUUCUGCAUUAACACUUAAUAGAGAAUGUUUAUGCACCACAUUUCCCCUAGAACUUCUCGUAAUUAUGCUGCUGGUGCAACAUAUUUUAUUUCCGUUAAUGAUCACCAUUCUUGUUGACUUUUCAACCCCCGCGAUGGUUGAAUUUGGUGGCAAAUUUUUUCCGUCCCACAUCGGCAAUCAAGAAGGAAAAGCCUCCCCUUGUUUACCUAUAAAUAGGGGGCUUGUUGAAGUUAAUUACACCACUCAAGAGAGCAUUAUAUGGGCUAUUAGUUUCUAGAGUCAUCUAGCCCAUUUAGUCAAAUAUUUUAGGUUCUCUUGUUUUGACUUUUGGAAUAUUUCCUAAACCUUUUGUAAGUGUCAUUUUGGCCUAGGAACCACUUUCCUACGGCUUUUAUAUUUUUUCUUCAUAAUAGAAAUAUUGCUUCUCCCUCGUCCGUAGACGUAGGUCAAUUUGACCGAACCACGUAAAUUUUGAUGUCUUUUAUUUUGCUUUGUUAUUUGUCUUUAUUAGGUUGCCACAACCCUUUUAUAUGGUCGAUUUUACUACCUAAUUAUUAUAUGACUGGUGUCUACCGCCUAACCAUUAUAUGGUCGGUUAUACCGCCUAUUUUGCUCUAACUUUAGUUUGUUUAUUCUUGGGCCAGUCCUAACAAACUGACAGGUUCAUCUCGUGGGGCCCAUUCAUCCUGUGGGAUCCGUACAUCUGGUGGGGUCCGUACAACCUGUGGGGUCCAUUCAUUCCGUGAGCCCAGCUCAUUCCGUGGGAUCCACUCAUCCUGUGAGGCCCGCUCACGAGAUUUGCAUAUUUGUUUGGCCAGUUUUUUUAGACAAACUUCAAGUUACAGAUUUUGUGGCAACAAUGACGACAACAAAGGCGGUUGUCGAGAAAUUCAACAGGAAUGUCAACUUCGGCAUGUGGCAACUCAAGAUGGAGGCCAUUUUGGUUCAAGACGGAGUUGACUUGGCAAUUCAGGGAAUUGAGAAAAAGCUAGAAGAUGUAAAAGAUGCGGAUUUCGCCAAUAUGGAUAAGAAGGCCAGAUCCGGCAUAAUCUUAAAUCUCUCCAAUGAGGUAUUGCAUGAGGUAGCAAUGGAGACUUCGGUCAAGGCUAUGUGGGAUAAAUUAAAAGCCUUGUAUAUGAAGAAGACAGUCGAGAAUCGGCUAUAUCUGAAGCAAAGUUUGUAUAUGUUUCAGAUGUCUGAAGGUACAUUUAUACUCUCCCAUCUUAAUAAAUUUGAUUCCAUUAUUAUGGAUUUAAAGAAUAUAGAUUCAAAAAUUGAUGAUGAAGAUCAGACCCUAUUACUUUUGUAUUCCCUUCCCCAGUCAUUUAAGUAUUUCUGUGAUACUAUGAUUUAUGAAAAGAAAAUAAUUUCGUAUCGAAAAAUUAAAUCUGCAUUAAAAUCUAAAGAGCAGAUAGAUAAGAAUAUUAUUGGGAAAACUAGUGGGAGUCAAGCCGAUGGCUUGUUUAUUUGGGGUAGAUCUGAAAAGAGAAACACAGAAAAUAGAAGUAGAUUCAAGUCCAAACAUAAAAAUGUGGUGUGCAACUAUUGUAAAAAGAAUGGCCAUGUUAUCUCUGAUUGCUUUAAUUGAAAAAUAAAGAAAAGCAAAAAGAAAAAUUUGUUGAGAAAAAUACUAAAUCUGUUGAAACUAGUAUAGCAGCUGAUGAGAAUGAUGGAACAAUUUUCUAUGCAACAGAAAAUAUUUUUAGGUCUAACAAUGUGUGGAUUUUAGAUUCGAGUUGUUCAUAUCAUAUGUGUCCUAAUAGGGACUGGUUUUCAGAAUAUGAAUCAACUGAAGGUGGAGUUGUCUUAAUGGGUAACAACGCCGCUUGUAAAGUUGUUGGCAAAGGCACAAUCCGGAUUAAAAUGUACGAUGGUAUUGUGAGGACACUCACAGAUGUUAGACAUGUUCCAGAUUUGAAGAAAAAUCUCAUCUCUUGCGCACUCUUGAAUCUAUUGGGUGCAGGUAUUCAGGUGGAGAUGGAGUUCUCAAAAUCACUCAAGGAGCUCAUGUUGUUAUGAAGGCACACAGAUCUAGUACUUUAUAUAUUUUGCAGGGAUCUACUAUUACAGGUGCUGCUAUUGUUUCAACAUCAUCUUUGUCAGAUACAGACAUCACCAAAUUAUGGCAUAUGCGUUUGGGGCACAUUAGUGAAAAAAGCUUGGGCAUACUGAGCAAAAGAGAACUUCUUUGUGAACAAAGUACCGGAUCAUUGAAAUUCUGUGAACAUUGUAUUUUUGGAAAGCAGAAAAGAGUCAGUUUCAGUUCACCAGUAAUUUACAAGACAAAAGGUACUGUUAAUUACAUUCAUUCAGAUCUAUGGGGUCCUUCUCGUGCUCCUUCUAAAGGUAAUGCCAGGUACAUGUUGACUUUCAUUGAUGAUUAUUCAAGGAAAGUUUAGGUCUAUUUUCUUAAGUAUAAAAAUGAUGUUUUCUUAACUUUCAAGCAAUGAAAAGUUUUGAUUGAGAGACAAACAGGAAAACAUAUUAAGCGGUUGAGAACAGAUAAUGGCAUGGAAUUUUGUGGAGGUGAAUUUGAUAGAUUUUGUAAAAAUGAAAGAAUUGUUCGGCAUCACACCAUCAGGAUGACGUCUCAACAAAAUGGUGUGGCCGAACAUAUUAACAGAACACUUUUGGAGAGAGCAAGAUGUAUGAUCUCCAAUGCAGGAUUGACAAAUGACUUUUGGGCAGAGGCAAUCAAUAUUGCAUGUUAUAUCGUCAACUGUUCUCGUUCUACAUCUCUUAAUUUCAAAACUCCUGAGGCAAUUUGGUCAGAUACUCCUGCUGAUUACUCCAAUUUAAAAGUUUUUGAGUGUCCAGCAUACAUGCAUGUGAAUAAUAGAAAAUUGGGGCUUAGAGCUAAAAAGUGCAUUUUUCUUGGGUAUGCUUUUAGGGUGAAAGGAUACAGAUUAUGGUGUCCUGAUUCCAAAUUUUCAAAAUUUGUAAUCAGUAGAAAUUUUACUUUUGAUGAAUUGUCUAUGUUAUCUUUCAAAAAGGCGUUUUCUAGUUCUUGUACUACUAAUAGUACACAGAAGCAGGUGGAGCUUGAUAUUGGCAGUUCUAAUCCUUCUCAGUCCAAAUCUUCUAUUCAGCAAGAGCCAGUAGAUGCACCUGAAUCUACUGUUGAAGAUAAUUCAGAAGAAGAGGAGUAUUCCAUAGCCAGAAAUAGAACAAGGAGAGACAUUCGACCACCACAAAGAUAUGCAAAUUUAGUUGCAUAUGCUUUGUCUGUUGCAGAAGAAACUGAUGCAGUUGGUGAGCCUUCCACCUAUUCAGAAGCAGUUUCUUGUGAUGAUUCUGUAAAGUGGUUGAUUGCGAUGAAUGAAAAAAUUAAAUCUCUUCAUCAGAAUGAAACUUGGGUUCUUGUAAAGUCGCCGUUAAACAAGAAAAUAGUUGGUUACAAGUGAGUUUUCAAGAAAAAGAAAGGUAUCCAGGGGUUGAAAAUGCAAGGUAUAAAAUACAAUUAGUUGCAAAGGACUAUAGUCAAGUACAAAGUGUUGAUUUUAAUGAAAUUUUUUCACCUGUUGUUAAACAUAACUCUAUUCGUGUUUUGCUUGCUUUAGUUGCCAUGUAUGAUUUGGAGUUGAAGCAGCUUGAUGUUAAGACAGUUUUCUUACAUGGCGAACUUGAAAAAUAAAUUUAUAUGAAGCAACCUCAGGGUUUUGAGAUUGAAGGUAAAGAAGAUCAUGUUUGCUUGUUGAAGAAAUCUUUAUAUGGAUUGAAACAAUCUCCAAGACAAUGGUAUAAAAGGUUUUAUUCCUUUAUGUUGGGUCAUGGUUAUUUGAGGAGCAUGUAUGAUAGUUGUGUUUAUUUCCGGAAGUUAGAUGAUGAUUCUUUUAUCUAUUUGUUGUUGUAUGUUGAUAACAUGCUCAUUGCUGACAAGAAUUUGUCAGAAAUGCACACUUUGAAAUUACAGUUAAGCAGUGAAUUUGAAAUGAAAGAUUUAGGAGCAGCUAAGAAAAUUCUUGGCAUGAAUAUUAAGCGAGAUCGAGGAGCAGGAAAGUUGUUCUUGACCCAAGAAAAUUACCUAAAGAAAGUCUUGGAGUGUUUUGGCAUGAAAAAUGCAAAACCUGUAAGUACUCCUCUUGCUAAUCAUUUUCGGCUAUUGGCUACUCAAUCACCACAAUCAGAUGAAGAGGAAAAUUAUAUGGCACGGAUUCCUUAUUCCAGUGCAGUCGGCAGUAUUAUGUAUGCAAUGGUUUGUACUCGUCCAGAUAUCUCAUAUGCAGUCAGUGUUGUUAGCAGAUAUAUGUCUUACCCUGGUAAAGCACAUUGGCAGGCUGUGAAAUGGAUUCUCAGAUACUUGCGAGGUACUUCAAGUGCAUGUUUGGAGUUUAGAAAAAAUAAUAACACUUUGGUUGGUUUUGUAGACUCAGAGUACGCUGGAGAUCUUGACAGGAGAAGAUCACUUUCAGGAUAUGCAUUUUGCAUUGGCGAUUGUGCUGUUAGUUGGAAAGCUACUCUACAACCUGUCGUACCUUUGUCUACUACAGAAGCAGAAUAUAUGGCUGUGACCGAGGCAAUCAAAGAAGCCUUGUGGUUGAAGAGUUUAUUUAGCGAGUUUAGUCUACAUCAAGGUGUUACAAUUAUUCAUUGUGAUAGUCAAAGUGCCAUACACUUGACUAAAGACCAGAUAUAUCAUGAGAGGACGAAACAUAUUAAUGUGAAGUAUCACUUUAUUCGGAAUAUCAUUGCUGAAGGAAAGAUCCUUAUUCAAAAAAUCAAUACCAAGAACAAUCCAGCUGACAUGUUUACGAAACCUCUUCCAGUUUACAAGUUCAAGCAGUGCUUGGAUUUGGUUGGUGUUCGUUGUAUGUGAUUUGGCCCAUUGGGACUUAUGUGGAGAAGGUGGAACAGUUUUACUAUUGUCGAUGGUGAGACUAAAAAUUAUGCCAAGAUGGAAAUUUGUUAACUUUUCAACCCCCACGAUGGUUGAAUUGGGUGACAAAAUUUUUCCGUCCCACAUCGGCAAUCAAGAAAGAAAAGCCUCCCCUUGUUUACCUAUAAAUAGGGGGCUUGGCGUUGAAGUUAAUUGCACCACUCAAGAGAGCAUUAUAUGGGCUAUUAGGUUCUUGGGUCAUCUAGCCCAUUUAGUCAAAUAUUUUAGGCUCUCUUGUUUUGAGUUUAGGAAUAUUUUCUAAUCCUUUUGUAAGUGCCAUUUUGACCUAGGAACCACUUUCCUACGGCUUUUGUAUUUCUUUUUCAUAGUAGAAAUAUUGCUCCUCCCUCGUCCGUGGACGUAGGUCAAUUUGACCGAAACACAUAAAUUUUGGUGUCUUUUAUUUUGCUUUAUUAUUUAUCUUUAUUAGGUUGUCACAACCCUUUUAUAUGGUCGAUUUUACCGCCUAAUUAUUAUAUAGCUGGUGUCUAUCGCCUAACCAUUAUAUGGUCGGUUAUACCGCCUAUUUUAUUCUAACUUUAGUUUGUUUAUUCUUGAGUCAGUCCUAACAAUUCUAAUUACAGAAAAAUCAACUGUUCUUUUGGCUCGUGGGAUUAGUCCAAAAUGUACAACAUUCUAUGAAAAUCAAGAGGAAGCAGACCAGCAUAAGAAAGGAAAGGGGCAAAGAUGUAGGUAGGUCAGGAAAUUGGUACCACAACAGAUAUACAUUUAACAGUACUUUCUGUAAAGCAUACCGAUGCCUUAUAAUAGUCAUAGGAAUUAAAGCAAGCACAUGAUAUCAAUUCUGUGAAUUUUUUCCCCUCUUUAACUUAAUGAUGGUAAGACACACCCGGAAACAUUUUUUUUAUCCAUUCAUAGCAUGAGAAACACUCGAUCCAUUGUUGUCAUCCCCUCCAUUUACUGUAUACAUUUCAAUUUUGGAAUUUAACAUAAACAGCUCACCAAAGUGCUAAGUUCAGCCUACCUCAGAGGGGGAAAAAACCCUAAGUUUCAGGUUUGUAUUCCACAAAGUUCCUUACCUAACUAGUUUUUUUUAAUAAAAAAAAUGAUAAUUUUAUUCUAAUAUUUGCACUAAUAGCAGCAAAUACAUUAAACGUGACUCAAGUAAAGUUUAAUGUAGCUAAUUUGACUGGAAACGUUUUUGGUACACAGAAGAAACAAAUCAAAUUAGUGAGCUAGGUUAAAGAGAUUAUGAUUUUGAUAGUCUUUUCUUCUGAUAACAUGCCAGAUAAAUCUGGAUCAUCAUACAAUCAAUCUGUGCACAUAAGUCCGUAAUCUAGGCAAAAAUAUUGCACGAGUACUUUAUAUAUGUUCUCUAGUAAAGAGUACUUUAGUAGCUUAGCCGUGGAGUCCGGAUGCCAUUUGAAAUUUCUUGUAGGCUACUGAGCCUAAUGUUGUUGAACAAUGAAGAAUGGAGAACUUAAAAUUAUGUUAAUAAAAUUUUAAUAUCUCAAAAGAAAGAUCAAACCACAAGCAAACACAGGAAAGUAGCUUGGUUUCAAGAAGGAAGAACUUAAUGGAGUAAUUAAUAACAUAAAACACACAUCAGUAAUUAAAUCCAACAAUAUAAUAUUGUCUCAUUACCAGUAGGAAUGGCAGGAUACAGCCCGUAGGACUAACUGCUACCAAAUACUAUAUAAGCCAACAAAUUACCAAGUAAUUUGUCCCCUUCCAAACUAAAUGAAGAGAGUUAAAGAACAUAGAAACUAUCUCCCUCCCUCCCUUCAUUUCCAUCUAGCAUAAGAUUGAUACUACAAAUAUGUGGUACUAAGCAUAAUCUUCUCAAUUAAUACUCUGUAGAGAAUAUAAGUGCACCACAUUCCACCCGAAGGUCUUGUAAUUAUGCUGCUGGUGCUACACCUCCGCCAUCAUCGUCGUCGUCGUCGUCGUCGCCAUCCCCUUCGUUUGCUAAAAUUGUAACAUUCCAAUUAUCAUCAAAAGCAUCUUCCUUGACAUCUAACUUGGUGGGAAAAACUUUCUUGCUGUUAACAAUCACCAUUCUAAUUAGAGCAAAAUCAAUUUUUUUUUCACUUGUGGGAAUAAUUUUUGCUUUUGUGGAUCUCUCAAGCUAGGGGCACCUAUUUAUAGCUUAAAGAUCAAUCGCAUUACAAACUUGAAUCUUAGUCCGUACUAUUUUUGCACUAGCUGUAGGUCUUAAAUGUCUUCUUU
This 55780-nucleotide long non-coding RNA is filed under the name Coffea arabica (coffee). RNAcentral's name for it is "long non-coding RNA (CARA_LNC003657)". The stretch from base 27664 to 27770 matches the Rfam family "Plant small nucleolar RNA R71". The record is from RNAcentral. Lineage: Eukaryota; Viridiplantae; Streptophyta; Magnoliopsida; Gentianales; Rubiaceae.